Molecule: long non-coding RNA, 48353 nt
Filed under: Brachypodium distachyon (stiff brome)
Lineage: Eukaryota; Viridiplantae; Streptophyta; Magnoliopsida; Poales; Poaceae
Description: long non-coding RNA (BDIS_LNC002386)
Source: RNAcentral
UAAAAAAGGAAACCUUGAGGUACCCUCCAAACUUUUUAGUUCAAACAAAUGAACUACUCCCUCUGACCCAUAUUACUUGUCUAAAUUUAUCCAAAUAUAGAUGUAUUUAUGUUUAAAAAUCGUCUAGAUACAUGUAAUAUUUCAACAAGUAAUAUGGGUCGGGGGAGUAGUUUUUCAAGAUGUGAUGCGAUUUUAAAAUUUUAGUCCAUUUGUUUAACCAAAAUAUAUGAAAAAUCCGGGGAGUUUGACGCCAGUUCUUAUUGACUUGCGAUGGGCUGAAAUGCAACUCAAAUAUUCAUGGGCCGAAGUAUAAACAGGUUAAACAACAAAUCAUAUAUAUCCACCACUUGAGAGGCCGGCUGCUAAAACAUCUCCAAAUGGGGAUCACCAUAUGGUGAAUGCUUUGGGCCAGGCCAGUAAUGAGGGUGUGAAAUGCCCGUCCAGCCCAACAAACGCAUGGUAUAUACUUUGGGCCUGCUGGCAAGAAUAAAGGAAGCCAGAAGAGAGAUGUGCGUUUCGCUAAAAAAACCCAAGAGAGAUAUGCGUUCUUUCUUCUCCUCGAUCCCCCGACCCCUUUCCUUUUUCUUUUCUCUCGAGACAACACAUGUCACUUCUCAAACAAAGGUCAAAUAUGUGUAGUACUUCCUCUGUCUCAAAAUAAAUGACGUGAAUUUGUAUAGAUUCUUAUGCAAAUCCAUGUCACUUAUUUCAGGAUAGAGUGAGUAUCAUGUAUCUACAUUGUUUUCACUCUUCCAUUCACAAGGCUGGUUGAAAGUGGUAUAUCUUGCAUCAGAACAAGAUAUUCAUGUGCUAGCAAGAAAGCACUAGCAUCCUCUCUUCGUUUUCUCUUGUGUUUUGCUAAAAUUCGUUUUCUCUAUUCACUACUAAUCCGUUAAUAAAUAUAAUAAGUUCUACCUUUGUCCCUAAGUCAAACCUUUUCAAGUUGAGGAUUUUUACGGUACCUUGGUACUCCAUAAGUAUGGGUAGGAGUGCCAAGCAAAUCUGGCCGUCCAUAGGUGAGGGUAACUUAGACAUUUUACGCACGGUACUCCGAACUUCUCGUAUCUCCUUCCUGUCCAGCGAACGAGUGGCCGACGCCCCAAUCAAUCGUGCCACCGGCCACCGCCGGAAUCAAUCACGGACUCUCCUGGAUCCCCCACCGAUUGCAUGGUCGCAUCUGCUGUCAGGCUGUCCUCAAGCCGUCGCCGCCCUUUCCUCUCACCCUCCCGCUCCUUCGUAUUCUCAUUUUGCAUAGCGCGUGACGCCGGCGCCUACUCCCGAUCGACCGCAUGCCUCCAGUCCAGCAUGGUCGAGGCCCCUAGGGCGCUCCAUGGAGGAAGAAAUUCAUAGCAUCACAGAUAAGAUCGGGUCAGUUGUUGAUUUAUGCUGACGCUGAUUCUGUGGUUGCUGUCCACAACAGGAUUUAGAACCUUAAUCUGGUUAGAUCUCAAUAAUCCGAUAAUGGCUUUGUGCAAUUCAGUUUGAACUUCAUGUGCUCCUCGUGUCCUCCGCGGGCGCGACAUAUCCGGCGACUCCAGCGACAUGUACGGCAUUGAGUUCGUCCCGGCUGCUCGGGAUUAACUCCUAGAUAUUGGUGGCCGCACGGCAGUGGAUCCCUGGCUGCCAUAUCUUGUGACUCAAUUGAGAAUUUUAGGGUUUGUCGAACAGGGAUCUAUGUCUCUGCAUUUUCUUCAAUCGUUUUGUGUUUUCUGUACGAGGAACAAUUAUUAACUGCUGAGAAAAAAAGAAGCAAGUGCUAUGAUUACGCUUUUGUCCCUCUUGUUUAGGCACUCCGUGAUUUUUUUAGACGGUACUCCCCCGUGCUUGUGAUGGAGUACCAAAUAAAAUUAGCCAUUGGAUUGAGGCAAAUGGAUGGUUCAGGGUACCUUAUGGAUCAUGCCUUCUUAUUACUUGGACCGUACGUGCACUGGGUAGAUCGAUAUAUGCAAACCAUGUACAUAUAAUAUGUUUACAGAUAGAUGAUUGAAAUGUUUUUUCAACAGCAGUCUACUCUACUCUGUGCAGGCAGUCACAUAUCUAUUCAUUCCAUGGGAAUUGGCGCCACCACCAAAUGUGCAUACGUACGUCCUACACAAUCUAUGAGAUACCUUAAAGAAUGUACGCGUUCCAUCGUCUCGGAAUUGCAUGAUGUGCAUGCAUGGGUUCAAUCACAAGCAUAGCACAGGAGAGAGAUAGAGAGUGUGUGAGUGUGAGUGCAUGUGCAUUGGUUUGCUUUAUUCUCCCAAAGGGGGAUACACACACAGAGCUGGUCUGCCAAGCUGCCUGAGAGAGGGAUGGCCUAGGCCUUCGAGAAAGCAAAGCUAGCCAAAGCCAAAGCCAAAGCAAAUGCAUGCACAAGAAAGCCAAAGCAUCUAGCAGCAGCUGGGAGAAUCUGAUUCCUUCCGAGAGAGUAACAUGCAAAAAGAUCAAAAUCCACAUCCAAGGAUUCUAGAUCUUGCUACCUCUUGCUUGGACUAUUCCAAUAAGCUCGCAUUACUGAUCCCCUCUCUCUCUCUCUGGCUAGCUUUCGUCAUAAUCCUCUUUCUCGUCAUGGUCUACAUUCUUUCGUACGCUUCUUUCGCUUUUCGAGUACCAGUGUUGAUGCAGGCAGCAGCAGCUUGUGCUUUUGGGGCGCACCGUUUCUCGUCCAUGGCUCUCCAGUAGAUCCUAGCUAUAGCUAGCGGCAGGCAAAGCAUCUGUCUUCUCUUGAUCUCAGUGCUACCUCCAAUCGAUCUCAGACUUCUAUGUAACCGAUAUCUAUCCAUGGAUAAAAUCUUCAUCGCCUCAUGCAUGCAUGACAUAUGUAUAUAUAUAGAGGUUUUUCCAUCGGAAACUCUUUUCUACCGGCUCCGCGAUGUAGCGGAGCCAUCAGAACCCAUGUGUUGCAUGCGACCAACCACACGCUGGCACGUGGCAUUAUGCACCAUAUACAAUUAAAUAUAUCAUAUAUCAUUGACUGACACCAUGUACAAACACCACAUAUAUAUUGACUGAUACCGUAUGUCAUUGACCGGUAUCAUGUACCAAUAUCAUAUACCAUUUACCCAUAACAAAAUAUAAUAAAAAGAUGGGCCGGGCCAACACCACGUGUCUCCUUCUGUUGGCACAGCUACGUAGCGGUGCCGGUAGAAUCGCUGCUUACGUUCUUCCAUCCAUAAUUGCAAAUGCAUGCAGAAGCUGGGGAAACAUCCUCCUUUUCGAAAAGAGAAAUUGCAAAUAUAUCUGGCUAGCACCUAAAGUUCUUCUCAUGAAUAAUAUAGAUGCAUGCAUCCAUGCAACUGAAACUAGCUAGCUAGCUAGCCAAAUGCUAUACUCCCUCCGGUCCAUAAAAAUUGUCCCUCACUUUUGGAGGGAGUACCAUAUAAGAGAAUCGAUCGGUCGAGGUAGCGUAGUGCUACUACAAUUUAAUUGCAUACUGGCUAAGUGGCCUGUGCGUUGCAACAGUCUUCACAACGGUUUUUUUAGAGCAUGUGAAUUGAUGUCUUAAAGGUUCGCUGCUGAUUUUGGGCUAGCAUAUAUAUAUAUAUACUCCCUCCGAUCCAUAUAAUAAGUGUCGCUGAUUUAGUACAACUUUGUUCUAAAUCAACGGCACUUAUUAUGGAUCGGAUGGAGUAUAUAACAGCUAUAUAUAUAUAUUUAUAAUCUCCUUACCUUCGUACGUUCUGUCACAAUGUGAAAAGAGAGGGGGAGAAAGGGAAAGGUAGAAACUAAAGAACCGACCCUUACUAUUGAGUGCAUGCAGGACCUCUCUUUGACUAGGUGCCUUUAAUUUGCAGCCGUACGUGAUCAACAUUGACUGCAAUGAGAGAUUAACAUAUACUCCAUAUAGUACUACACAGUACACACAGAUCAUCGAUCCAUGCAUCGCUGGGUAUUGCAUGUUAAUUUAUUUGUUAGAGCCAUGCAUGCACGCAACACAUAUAUGCAUCGCAUUUCAAUUUUAUUUUUCUUUGUGCUUACACGUGUUAAUUAACUCCUAGCAGGCUGAUCCGGUGAUCAAGGGAACUAAGUAGCAUCCUAACUGCUAAAUCAAUUUAAUUUCACACCGGUUAUUAUUAAGAUCAAUGCCAAAGCUCUACAUGCAUGUAUGUAUUAACAAUUUUGAACUUUAACCGUGACAGAUGAUUCUGCGAACGAUUUGUCAUAAGGCGUCGUCAAACAUUUUGACAUUUCUGCACAAUUGAAUGGAAACUACUAUACGUAGAGAGAGUUCAUAAUUGAUUAUCUAAAAAAGAAAGUUUAGAUCGAUCAGUUGACAUAUAAUAAAAGGAGUUCUUCAUAAACAAAAUGAACAUCACUAGUACUAGUAAACCAAGUACACACAUAAUUAACUUCACCCCGAAAUGCAUGCGCGAGAAAACCUAGAAGAAGAAGAAAACACAUAGCAAGUGAUCGAUCAUGCCAGCUAAACUAGCUAAUUGACACUAAUAAUUGUGCAUGAUCAUAUCAAACAAGCUAGCACACACACAACACCAUCCAUCCAUGCAUCCUUGCUUCCACACCUUUCCUCCAUGCAUGCAUGGGGCAUGCAUCCACACCAUGAGCAAACUAACGAACUACCAAUGCAAAGCUUUUGAUCUAUAUCUCACAUAACACCCCUCCAUCGAUCUAAAAGGCAGUUAAGAUCAAGUUAGCUUAUGCAUUACAAGAGAUGGUUACCUCUGGCGGCAGUAUUGGAGUUAUACGAACUUGUGUAGCCUGCAUUGAGCUGGUGGUGGUGAUCACCAUUACCAUACAUACUGAUGAUGUUGCUGCCGCCCCUUGUAAACCCGUCUUCCCUCUUUGAAGACGGCAUCGUCGUUGCAGAAGCAUGAUGGAACUGGUUGUCUUCUUCUCCGACCACCUCGCCGUUGCCAUUGCCGCCGUGGUCUAGGCCUAGGUAAUGGAACAUCCCCGGCGCUGCUGGAGCCAGAUGAUUGUCGGCUGCCGCCAUUGCGUGGAAGAACGGGAAGCCCGCCGGGAUCUGCUGCACCGAUCUCCACUGCUCCAUGGCGCCACCGCCGCCGCCCAAUGAGUAGCAUCCUGCAGGUACGUCUACGGAGCCGGAGGAGGUCAGCGGCGGCGGCUUCCCCAUCCCGCCGGCGCCGGAGACGAAGGUCGAGCCGAGGCUCAUGGCGUCGAAGUCGGCCAGCCGAAGCAGCGGCGGCAGCAGGCCAGAGGGCAGCUGCUGGUGGUUCCCAGUCGGGAGCAUCGCGGGCGGCGCGCUCGUCGGUGCCGUCGCCGGAGCCGAGGAAGACGAAGUGGCGGGCUGCUGCUUCGGCUGCUUGGCGCGCUUGGCGUGGCGGCGGUACCCGCCGCCGACGGGGACGUUGCGGAGGGCGCCGCCGCGGGUCCAGUAGCGGCGGCAGGCGCGGCAGAAGUGGCGGGGCUGGGAGAGGGAGUAGUUGUUGAAGUAGCAGAACUUGGUGUUGGCCGAGUCGCAGCGCGGGCACUUGAGCCCUUGCUCCGGCAGCGGCACGCGCGCCAGCCGCGCCCGCUCCGACAUCGACAUCGGCUUCCCCGCCAUGGCCGCCGCCUGUGCCUGCUGUGCUCCUCCAUGGCCGCCGCCUUCUGCAAGCUGCUGCUGCUGCUGCUGCAUCUGCAUGAUGGACGGCUGCAGGAGCUGCUCAUGGCAGCUGCCGUCUGUUGCACUGGCUGAUCCUGCGACGACGACCUGCUGCUGCUGGUGAUGAGGAUGGCGCUGGAAAUUGUUAUUGAUCUGGCCGGAGAUCGAUCAGGAUUCAGGAGGAAGAAGAAUUAAUCAAGAACUGAACUGAUCAAAGGGAAAAAAAAUUAAAGCUGAAAUUUUAUGGCUAGCUAGCUAUAAAAUGGAAAUUUGUGCAUGCCAAUUAAGUUGUACUAGUGGUCCAGUAUAUACCAAGACCAAGAUUAUACACACACACAUAGUGUGUGAAUUGGAUCAGAAUAAUUUAUCCAAAGUAUUAAUACUCUUCUAAGAACUUUCUCUUUUUUCUGCUUUUAUUUUUGCUUGUGCAAAAGAGAAAGAGUAGUGAACAAAAUCUUCGGAAAAGAAAAGGGGAAGCUUUGGAGAGGAACCAAUGAAAUUGAAUAGAUUACCUGGUUAUUAUCAUUCCAGCUUGAGGAAUCCAGGAAGGAAGCAGGGGGGAAGAUCAUGGUGGGGGGAGAUGUUAUCCGGAGAAAGUGAGUCUUCUUCAGUCUUGUAUGCUGGCUUGCAAGGCAGACUAAGCUAGCUAGGGUUUGGCAAGCUCUCUUGUCUUCUCCUUUCCCUUGUGUAAGCUAGCAAGAGCUUCUGCUGCCUCUUGUGUGGCUAAAGGUUGUGCUUGAUAGAGGCUUGGUAGUGGGAGACGAGAGAGCUAGCUAAGCCUCCUCCUCAUGGUCCUCAUGGGAUUUGGAAAAAAUUAUAUGGGGAAUCAGCUGAGAAAGAGGAAGAGGAAAAAGGAAAAGGAGGGAUGAGAGAGUGAGACAGGAUUAGUGAGGGGUGAGGUGGGAUGAGGGAGAAAAAGCAGCGAAAAAGUAGCCUUGUACCUUCUAUGUGGCCCUGUUUAAUUUGUGAUAUACUGUGGCUUUUUUCUUCUAGCUCUCUGGUGCUGCUGCUGCUUGUGUGUGUGUGUGUGUGGAGCGACAGCCGGCCCCACCGGUUUUUGUGUUAAUUAAUAAGGGGAUCACAAGAACCAAGGAAUAAUCCUCGUGAGUAGCUAGUCAAGUUUUUUAAUAUUCAGUUUAGCCAACAGAAGCGUGUGAUUUUCUCUUGUACAAAGGGAAUUAAAUUAUCCAUGAAUGCACAUCAAUCGGUAUUUCAGAUGCCCCAAUUAGAAAGAGUUUUUUACGCUAUGAAUGCUGGACAGGUUUCAGAUCUCGAUCGAGGCUUAUGAUCGAUCGAGCUGCUUGAGUUUCGUUCAUUUUUUGGAUUGGAUUCGGAAAGGAUCGGAAUUCCAAAAUUAAGAUUCUGGAACUCAAAUGCAAACAACAUCAAUAUGUGACAGUUCUGUACGUAUAUGCGUUACAAGCCAUUUUUCUAGACUUGUAAUUUGCUCUAGCUACCUACUCCACUGUUCAUGACAAAAGAUGAAUGAUCCAAGCUUUGACAAAUUUAUUGUCCUCUCCUACUUUCCCAUUGUGUUAUACUAUAUGAAACAUUGAGUAUGUUUGUAGCCAAGAAAAUAGCAAGCGUUAAUGGAAAGAUAGAAGCAAAAGCGCUCGCGAUUGCUGAUCGAACUAUAUUGUGUUGAACUUAUUUUACAAUCUAUUAUAAAGAAAAUGCCAAAGAACGAAAAUUUGAGUUAGACAAAAAAAUAAAAUAGGCAAAAGUUUGACCAAUUAAGUUUAUAGAAAUAUACUACCUACAUCUACAAUUCUAAAUUAAUUUUAUUUAAUUAUAUAUAUAUAUAUAUAUUAGUACAUUUUUCAUAAACUUAAUAAAAAUAAGAAAUUUGAAUUAGGGCAAAACUAGAAUAUCUUAUCAAUUGGAAUGAGGGAAUAGUAUAUACGUGUCAACCCCACAUGACAAGUACUUGGGAUGCUAGUUUUGGACUAUUCUAAGUGUUCCAUCACCUUAAGAAUUAACCGCGUCGCGCGAAGCAAGGACAAAAGCGUGUACUUGUCCACCAAGAGGCUGGUCACUGAGAAUGUUUUUAGCUAAUUGGGAGUGUGCUGAUUCGAGCAGCUGCAAACAGGAAUAAUCAAAGUAUUUUCCUGUGCAAAUAAAGUGAAAAAAAUGCAUGGAGAUGAUUGCUUGGAAAAUAAAUAAAGGCAAUGCAUCGAUGAGCCAUAGUGAGUUUAGAGCAGUAGUCAUGGUCAAUCAGAUUGCGGCCAUAGUCUGGUCCCUAAAAGGAAAAAAGAAAUUAAAGCAGCUAAGCAUAGCACUGCCUCUAUUAUGCAUGUGCGUCUGAUGGAUCUGUCGUUUCUUGUCACAUCCUUUAGCAGUGCAGCUAACUAGCUUCCCUGCUAAGCCUCUGCUUCAGCAACAAUUAGUAUCUUGGUUAUCUUAAUCAAAGUCGCUGCAAAUUAAGUGCAAGUAGGACCAUUGCUGAGGCAGUUACAGGCUUGCCCAUAUCACCAAGUUAUAAUCAUUAAAAUAUUUGCUGGGCACAAUCGAUCGACUUAAAGUUUCUUUUAGUCGAUCGAAUUAAUAUAUGGUCAAUCAUCUCAGAAGCCAGAUUCGUUAUGAUAUUACAGAGGGAAAAAGCUGAGAGUGGAUUUCCCGCACACGGUGGCGACCGCACUUGAAAUCCCGUCCAUCGGAGAUUUAUGCCAGGAAAACCAAGAAACGCGGUAUACAUCGCAAAUAGAGAGCUGGUAGUAUCGGAGAGCAGUGAAAGCACUCUUGCAGAAGGGACUGGUCGGCAGGCCAUUCAGUAAGUACUGCGCGUGGGGCCCUGUAUUUAGUGGGAAAUUUAUGGCCGCUCGGUUAUUACCUACCGCGAAGCCCCUCAUGAGUCCUGUGCCACAAUCCCCUCAGUCCAUACGCCGGUGGAGGAGGAGAGGGGUUCGGCUACGGGGCGAGCAGCCAUGGAGGAAAUCGGCGUCGAUGUGUACAGGUACGGCCUUCGCGAUGCCGUUUCAGUAACGCCCCCUGGUUUCAGAUCACCGAUUCCUAAUGUAUCUGUACCUUUCGAAUCCCGUAGUCGAGCACGAGAUCUGGGGAUCGAUUUGGCAAACAUGAGCUAUCUCGCGCAACUCAGUUCGUUCGCCUUGGACGAAGAAGGUGCCCGAGACUCCAGGGGAGGGGCCGUCCAGUCGGACACUCGGUCCGUUGAUUCAAGCACGGCGGCGAUGGCGGUGGAAGGGAGCAACGACCUAUCGGGCGAACAAGAUUUCAUCGAGCAUGGAGUCGUGGAAAGCGCAACGCGGACGGACAGGCCAGAAACUGAUUCAGACGAGCCCCCACCUGCGUGGAAAAAAAGGUAAGGAACAAAUUUGCUGCGACGCUGAGUAAAUUGCAAACUGCACAUUCUUUCUGAUGGGAUUGCAACUUGUUAUGCUCUCCCCGCUACGAACACGAUGCCAGGCCCCGGAUUGGAGUGCUGCCAGAUUCGAAGGAACGUACGGUGGUGAGGAUUUCAGCUCUGGAAGAAUCGUUGACGAGAUAUGCAGAGAAGAAAUCCGACGUAGUUUGUCGAUCCAGUGGUCAGGACAAAGUUCGACUCGCUCGCGGAAGCCUAUGAUUUCUAUAAUUUGUUCUCCUGGGAGGUUGGGUUCGGGAUAAGGUACGGAAAGAGCAGGAGAAAUGUGAAGGGAUCAAAAUGUAUGCAGGAAAUCGUCUGUGGCUGUGCGGUAAGUGUUCGUGGAUUUGAAGCUUCUGUUGAUGAUGAUUAUGAGCCACCUUUAUCUAACCAGUUCAUCGCACUCCUACAGGGUCGGCCAAAGCCUAACACAAGGUCGUCCAUGUCAAUGUGCCCCGCUCUCAUAAGAUUACUCCGCAGCAAUGACGGGAUGACGGGACCUGGUAUGUAUCGGAGAACAGGCAAGAGCAUAACCAUGGUUUGUCAGGAACGUGCGGUGAGAAAUUGCAUUGGCCAUCUCAUAGGCACAUUGACAAGUACAGUAAGGACGCGGUGAAACAACUUAGGGAGAACAACGUUCCUCUCGGCAAGGUGUACAGCAUCAUAGGUUCCAUGUUUGGGAGGAUGGAGAAUGUACCUUUCACGAAGAGGUCGCUGCGCACGCUGUGCGGCAAAAUGGGGAGAGAACAAGCAGAUCAUGAUGUCCAGAAAACCAUUGCAGAAUUCGCUAGGCUAAAAACAACUGAUCCGGACUUCGACUACACUGUCGAGGUGGAUGAAGACAGUCGUGUGAAGACAUUAAUUUGGAGUAGCGGCCGCAGCUGGCAUCAGUACCAUCAUUUUGGUGAUGUGGUUACUUUUGACACGACAUACAAAACAAAUCUCUAUGACAUGCCUUUCAGGCUGUUUGUGGGUGUCAACAAUCAUUUCCAAAGUAUAAUCUUUGGAGGGGUUCUCAUGCGUGAAGAGAAGAUAGAAAGUUUCGUAUGGGUUUUCCGGGAAUUCGUCCGGAUGAUGGGCGGGAAGCAUCCUGAGACCAUCCUCACUGGUAAGCCUGUGUCGAUGUGAUUCAUGUGCCCCUAGAAAUAUAUUAACGCCAUGCUAAUGUCGGGUGCAUCUAUUUUUCUUACUAGACCAAGCGAGAGCUAUGGAGGUGGCUAUCCGGCAGGUGUUCCAGACACGACACAACGAUGGUGCAAGUGGCACGUCCUAAGGAAGGCUAAGGAGCAGCUAGGGCCUUAUUACACGAAGCAGAGCUACUUCAGGGCUGCUUUCCAUAAAGUGGUGAAUGAAAUGCUGACGGUCGAUGAAUUCAAACGGGCAUGGCACCUACUACUCAGGCAAUACAACCUAGAGAACCACCCGUACCUCAUUCAGGUGUAUGAAUGCCGGUCCAAGUGGGCUAAACCAUUCUUCAGUGGAAAAUUUUGUGCUAGGCAGACCAGCACACAAAGGAGUGAGAGUGCAAAUCAUAUGUUGAAGGUUUACGUGCCUCCUAGAUCCCCGAUGCAUGUUUUCGUGAUGCAGUACGGGAAGCUCUAGCACGCCCGAGAGUCUGAAGAGAGUUUCCAAGAAAGGCGUACCAAGUUGGUAAGUAUGUACACAAGAUAAACUGUUAAAUUAUAGAAAAUUUUAACUACUUCUGUGUGAUAAUGACCCUACUAACACCCAGGGUGGAGUUGUCCUAAGGAUGAACUUGCCGAUCGAGAAACAUGCUAGCAGGGUGUACACACGUGCGAUGUUCGAGGUUUUUGGAAAAAUCCUGUAUGAGUCUGGUUCAUAUACGAAGUGACAGAGCUACUACCCAACAAGUUAUACCAAGCACGACAUGUCCAUGGUGAGCCACGUGAGAAAUGGUACCGCAUCGACUAUCAGGUCAGGGUGGAUGACAAGGGUAAUUCGUACAACUGUGAGUGUGGUCUAUUGGAGCACAUGGGGAUGCUGUGCUGCCAUGCACUGAAGGCUUGGUUCUGGAUGUAAGAACGGUUCUAUCACAUGAGUUAACAUGGAUGCGACAAAAUGGCUUCUGGUAGGAACAAUAAAUCUAUAUAAAAUACUUCAACUCAUGGGGAUGCUGUGCUGCCAUGCACUGAAAGUUUGGUUCUGGAUGUAAGAACGGUUCUAUCACAUGAGUUAACAUGGAUGCGACAAAAUGGCUUCUGGUAGGAACAAUAAAUCUAUAUAAAAUACUUCAACUUGUGAAUAGAACUUAAAAAUUACACAUAUGAAUGUCCAUGGCUUUUAUCCAAUAUGAAGUGAAAGGAAAAUAAUACUUGUAUAUUUAACAUUUUUCUCCAAUUAUUAUUCUCCAUUCUCUUUAUCCAAUUUAACAUCAUACGUGCAUUUCUCUACUUCCCCCACUCUUUAACAUUUUUCUCCAAUUAUUCGCCAUUCUCUUUAUCCAAUAUUAACAUCAUACAUGCAUUUCUCUACUUCCCCCACUCUACUAUUCUUUUGGUUUUAUGCUGGCAUGAUUUCUUCUUUCUUUAAUGUGGGCAGCAGCGUCGUUAUCCUUGGAGCAUAUAGAACUCCAGAUGGGCCCGGCCCACCUAUUCGAGAACUCAGCAAUCAUGAUGUGGGUCCAUGAAUUGGAUGGGCUGAGUCCGGCCCACGGAACACAUGCUACACCUGACUAGCCAACAUCCUGCCCCCGUCCCAUGCCCCAUGCUCAUGGGUCAACUUGUCACACUGCUUAAAGAUGCAUAAUUGAAUCAACAGAGAGAUAUUCGCAAUGAUACAUCUUUCUCUUUGCUUACAUUCAAAUUGAUCUUCUUCACAAUUUCAUGCACCAACAAACCCACUAUGCGCAACCGAAAGAUGGUGCAAAUUCUAUGGGUCGGUCGUACUCAACACUCCCACUCACGUCGAGACCCCCAAGAAGUUUCCGAGCUGUGAUCUGCACGUGCCGAAGCGACACGACACCAAUCAAUCAUGUACUGUUUCCAGCCUAGUGUUAAAAAGACUAAGCUUCUAGACCUCCUGCUGCAAGGACAAAUAGCAUGUCCUAACCACAGAUUAGACCACGUUGCAGUUCCGGUACAGUUUUGGCAGGUUGCUGUCCGGUGGCUUGUCACUUAUCAGACACUGCAGAGAGGAGCUUGUUAGACCUACCAUUACAGUAAACCACACCUGAAGCCUUGAGAGUAUGCAUCAAUCUGUAACAUGUGCUCCUGCUGCCAUAAAACACAACCAAGCAGACAUACAAAGCCAUCGUCAUCAAUCGACACAUCUCAUUGAAACAUUGAGCUUGGUGACCUAGAAACAAAUUAGGUACAGAAUUACAUCCAAGAAAAGGACAGAAUAGGCCUCUAUUUCUAGCAGCAAGGCAAGUACACAGCCUAGAAGACACUUAUUUUGAUCCCAAGAAAGAUCUCCAUGGCAACAAUAUACAGUUCAGUGAUCACCCCCCCUAGUAGUAGAUCAGGGACCAACUUAUGCUGCAUUAUUUGGGAAAUGAAGCAAAUCACAGCUGUCUGUUCUACCCAAGCGCACAGCCAUUAACUCUGAUCCACUACAUACAAACCAUAAGGUGCUGAGUGCUAAUGAAAAAUCCGAAACUGAAAUAAACUCAUGAUGGCGGCGGAGGAGGUGGCGACGUUGAUGAUUUUGUUGGCUCACUGCCUGGCUGGUGACCUUUACCAGCAACCUUCUCAUCCAGGACAUCCUUCAGCCCUUCCUGAUAGGUCUCCACAUAGUUCUUCACCGCACUCGUGUAGGUCGAGGCGCGGGUCAUGUAUAUGCGCCGCAGCGCAGGCUUCAGGGUUUCAGCCCCACCCCUCGCCGCCACCGCGAGGUCCUCAAGCACAGUAGGCUCACUUGUAGUUUUCCCUUCCUCGGACUUGCUGGAGCUGGACUCCUCUUUGACCUUCUUGUAGUCGUUCGGUCUGAGCUCAGGGCCGAUGUCCCUGACCCAGGAAGCCGCAUAGAGCCUGGUAGCCUCUUUGAGAAUACACCACUUUUCGUUCAACGUGAGCUUAGGGCGCGGCUUGUAACCCGGAGGGUCUGGCAGAGAAGACGGGAACGCGAUCUCUCUAAGAUCAUACCUCACGUAAUCAUAUAACUUCCUGCAGACAACUCUGAACUUCAUUUCGAUGCUACCACGACAACCUCUUUCUGUGGUUCGAUGAUGGACGAAUUAACCUGGUUCAUGGUAAAAACGAAGCAUGUCAACCCUUUCAUAUUAUAUACUCCCACGUUUUGGAUCCCAAAUUCCCAGCACAAGAUAUAGAGCAGCUACAAAGUUACGAAUUCUAAGACUGGAUUCAACCUUAGAGUGACGCAAAAACCAAACAUUGCAUUUCAUCGAACAGCUUGCCUACAUCUCAGAGGCAUUUAAGCAAACACAUUGCAUCCCAGGGGAUGAGGCUUGACUUACAGCUUUGCGGGAUGGGUUGAGCGCUGCCGUCGAGGAAGAGGCGGAGCGACGCAGCCGGCCGUGGUUAGCGCCGUCGAGGGAGAGAGCGGACCGGUGAGAGCUCCGUCGAGGGAGAGACAGAGCGGCGGAGCAGCCGCCUGGGCUUAGCUCUGCCGUCGAGGAAGGAGUGGAGCGACGCAGCCCACAGGGGUUAGCACUGACGUGGAGGAAGGGAGGAAGCGCAGCCGCAGCCGGCCGGGGUGAGCGCCGACGAGGGAGAGAGCCGACCGCCGGUGUGGCGGCUAGGGUCCCUCCUAGAGAGGGGCAAACACACACACACACACACACACAAACGCCCACAGCCCACAGGCCUCUUCAGCCGCCGUUGCUUGCUGGGCCAUGAAUCGCGGCCCAAAGUUGGGAGCUUCGCUUUUGUUUUCUGCCCUAUUUGAUUUCUUUCUUCCCCUCAAUUUUUUUUUUAUUUCUUUCUUUCUUCGCUUUCUUUUUUACCAAAUGUUUCUGCCGUAUAUUUGUUUUCUUUUUUCCUUGUACCAAAUGUUUUCUGCCUUUUUUUCUUUCUCUGACAUCUGUACGCAUCUCUGCCUUUUUCCUCGAAAAAUAAAAGAAAGAUAACCUUUCAAAACAUUGCACUUAAUUCUAAACCAAACGUAGCAUUGAAAAUUAAUAGGAGUAUACGUUUUUUUCCUAUGGCAAGAUAUUUAGAAUAACACUUUAAAUAUUCCCACGGCCACAUUUCAUCGAACUGCUUCCCUUCAUCUCGGGGGGCAUUUGAACAAACAGCUUCCAUUCACACACGAAACGAGACGCCGGUGCAGUCAUAUAGCAGCAAAGGCGUACGUUAAAUUUCCUCAAAAUUUUAAUUCCACAAGCAAACAAACAUGGACAAGGAAACUUGGUCUUUAUUGGCUGCGAGUUUUUUGGACGCAUACGUGCAUAUCAAACUUCCACAAAAUAUGCACGUGCAGCGAGCCACUGUCACGACACACUGACACAACAAAACAAGCUGCUAGCUGUAGACAGAACACAACACAACACACAAGCACACACCCAGUCCACCCAUUACGGAUCAUGGACGACCAUGGCGUACUCGCCGGCAUGCUCCGCAGAGUCAUCCCCCUGGCGGCCGCCGUCGCCGGGGAAGAAGAACGGAUACGUCUCAUACCGCGCCAUACAGCUGCUAUAGAUCACCCGGCACCCACGCCGGUACCGGCAGUAAUUCGGCAGCUCGGCCACGGCCUGCGCCACACACAGCCCGCAGUCCGCCGGCGUGAUGUCCCUCGUGCACCACCCCAGCCCAUACAAGAUCAUGCUACUUCCAAGCUUCGCCGUCUCCCUGGCCAGCCCCUGCUGCUUGCUCCGGUCAACGUCCCCGGCCUCGGCGGCGACACGGGCCAUGAGCUUGCUCUGCGCCCUGUCGAACGCGCCGAGGUCGACGCCGCUCGCGUUCUGGGUGUUGAGGAGGAUGAGCGUGUAGCCCGUGUCCGGGAGGCCGAUGAAGUUGUCGCCGCCGGAGAGGUAGCGGAGGAGGCAGUAGUCGUAGAAGGCGCGCGCGUCGCCGCUGCCGCGGCAGGAGGAGGCCAGCGCGCGCGCCGCGGCGGAGAGGCAGAGCGCGCAGUCCUGCCGCGGCACGUCGCCGCGGCACUGCGCCAGGCCGUGCACGGCGUCGGCGCCGGAGCCGGAGGUGGAGACGGCGUAGUAGGCGGCCGAGGCGCGCGGGACGAGGGACGCCAGGACGGCGUCGAUGUUGGCUUGUGUCUGCGCCGUCGUGCCGUUCUUGGCGCAGUACGUGGCCACCGGGUCCACGGCGCUGCACGGGCGCGGCGCCGCCAUGGCCGCCGCCAGCAGGAGGAUCACUAGCGGGAGCGGCGGGAGCUGGGCUGCCGGAGCUGCCAUGUUUUGUGUUGUGCGUGCUGCGUGCUUAACUGGUGUUUGAUGCAAUGUGAUUUAUAAGUAGAGCCCGGCCCAUGCUGCACUAUUUUGCUAGUUGGGCAAAUUGCAAUGUGCGCGUGCAUGGAGGCAGCCAUGGCUGACCGCGACGUUGAUGGUGAUGGGGAUGACUCUUGUUUGUGGCCGUAGCAUUAACUUUGACUUUGACCUAGUCAACUUGUAGAUCGUGGAUAUAUCAAUCGAGAAUGAGUGGUCCACGUACGCCAUGCAUGCAACCAAAAGGCCUCGUGGUGAGCUAUAGCAUACUCCAAUUAAUUUCUAGAUGAACUGAUAAUUCAACCCUAGGUAUUAAUUGCUGGAUUGAUUUAUAUGUCGAACUCUAGAUCGAAUUAGUGGUCAUCUAUAUAUGCAGCCAAAAGGACGCCUCUCGCUGAGCUAGCUGGCUAGGUCAAUAUCUGAACUGUUCUAGCAGUCGAUCGAUGGACGAUCUGUUAAUUAAUUGAAACGUUUAGCUACCUAUAUAUGCUUCAGAAGAAGAAAAAUACACAUAUGGACUGAGCUGGUGUUAGAUUUAGCAGGCCGGUCAUACAAAGUGUAUAUCAACCAGCGACCGAUCCGGACAUUAAAUUGCAGACAUGGUUGACCAUACAAAGUGCCUGCCUCUUAAUUGUUGCCGGCGCCCGGAUGCAGCAUUGCUGGAUUCUGUCAAACUUCUAGAUGCAUGCGAUCGAUCAAAAGUUCUUCUCGCUGAGGUCAAUACCCGAAACUGCAAGCAAAUUAAGUAACCCAACAUGCAUGCAUGCUCUAGUUAGUACGUCGAUUGCUCUGUUCAUUCAACAUUAGCAUUGAUUAACUGCUUGAUCCUGUCAACUUCUAGAUCAAUCGUAUAGAGAAUGGUCAUGCAUGCAUGCAUGCAUGAUAGCUGGGUCACGGAUCGAUCUGAAACCAGCGUACUAAUCCAAAUGUUAAUUUUAGGCGAUUUUUCUCUUGGGCAAUUGUUAAACCUGGUCAUAUAUGGGCUCUGUUAAAUAUACUCAAUAUCUUUUCCUACAAUUCGAGCUUUUGGUUUAACUGGCCGAGUACAACAGUUCAAUAUGAUAUUAGAGCCAAGAUAGGUUAAACUCAAAGACUACCAAAUUCAAGGUCUCAAUUUCAUAUGGUUUUAAAAAUUAAAUCCUAAACUGAAGUGAGAAUAAGUGUUGAAAUAUAUUAAGCACUUGUCUCUAACAUUUAUAGCUUUUGCGUGAACUUGGUUAGGUACAUAUAAUUAAAAUUUUGUCUCCUGGGCAAUUGUUAAACCCAGACGUGUCACGCCACUAAGCUCUGUUGAAAACAAGUCGCUAGCUAGCUUGUACUGAGUGAAUUGAAAGAACUAAAGAAUCAAUCCAUGGAGACUGAGGUGGUGUUGGAUUUGGCCGGUUAUCAAUUGGGACUUGGCGACACUAACGCUGCACAUUACCGGUCAACACGUUAGGUCGCCGCCUUGCUGUGUCGGGCACUCAACUCGAUCUCCUUUUUCUGUUUAAUCAACAGAUCAGACUAUAUAUAUAGCCGCAGCAGCUUGUUGUAUUUUGACUUUUUGACUCCGUUAACUCAUCUGUACUACAGUAAUAAAGUUCGAAUGAACUUCUUUUAAUACUCCAAAAGAAAUUCUGAGCUCUGUUAUACCAAAAGGAAUCAAGUCAACAAUGGCACCAUGUAUCAUACUUAACCUGAAGCCAGCAAUUCAAUAGCCACUUAUUAGAUUACAAACUGGGGCAAAAAGUGUGCAUGAUUGUGUUUCAACAAAAAGAUAAAUGUUCAAUUAGAAAGGCGAAGUAGAGAACUGGCUCGCCGCAUUGAGGACAGACGCAGGCAACACUGGUGCUGUUCCUGUGGCCUGCAGGGAGAGUAAGGUCGAGCAGUUAGUAAUUUGGUCGUCGAUGUAAAGGGCAGGCGCAGCAUAUCACACACGAUGUAAAAUAUAGAAUGUUGUGAAUGCUACAAAACCAUAAUUUUGCAAAUACUUGCAAUAAGCAAAAGCGCCAAACACUGUUUGAGUUUUAUUAUCACAAAUACAUGUUGCCUCCAGUGUCAGGGUUUAUCAAAAGCAAUGCUAAGUUUUGGAGAUCAUUACAGAUAAAUAACAUUGCCGGUGCUCUAAUUAUUCUGGAGCAAUUUGCUGACUAAACAUUUAGAGAGAAAAUUUCAAUGAUGUCACUGCUAAAAUUCUCUGAAGAAAUCAUGUACAUGGUCAUAUGUUCUUAAGAAUAUAAUUCUGCUUGAUGUUCAUAUAUAAACUAUUAUGGACCGGAGGGAGUACUAACUAAAACAUUAGACUAUCAUAUGUCAGAUACAGAUAAUUCUUUCCAGUGCAACAAUCCAACAUCUGCCACCUAGAAGAUAUUUUACUUGCCAUAUCUUGGUUUUGAUAGCAUAUAAUAAUUUGAUAAUUUCUCCAAGAUAAUAUAAAGAGACAAGUGGUGAAUUUUCUCCACCCUGCACCUAUGAAUAAGUUGAUAACAAUAGUAGCAGACCGAGCUCAAUGAUAGUGCCAUAAAAUUAGUAGUUUCUCCAAGAUAACAACACUAUGGUGUAUAGUUGCCAGCAAAUUUAUAAUCCUUCCAAUCCAUAAUAAGUGUCUUGGAUUUAGUACAAAGUUAUACUAGCUUUGUACUAAAUUCAAGACACUUAUUAUGGAUCGGAGGAAGUAGAUGAUAGUGCUCCAACUCAAUGAUGUGGUAAGAGACACUAUCAUAAGGAAAACCUCCGGAAAACUGUAGUUGUUGUCAUCAGUGGGCCAAGCAGUGCUGACAUCACAACACAAUUACUGGACAAAAGUAGCUCUUAUCUUAUUGAGAGAAUCAUUCUCUUGCACAUUUUGUUUGAGAGGAAUAACAGGGGACACACAAACUAGCAGCGGAUCUUAAACAACAAGGCUACAGUUCUGGAGUAUCAAUGGAAGUUUACACUAGGGAUGACAAUUUUGGUUAUCAUGGUAAUGGAUGCGGUGUUUACACUCCCCAAGAACAUAGAUACACUGUAUUUAACACCGAAGAAAGACAACUUUUGCCAGAAUUGCAAUGGCUACCGGGAGGCUAGAGUCAAAUAUUGGCAUAACCUGCCAAUGCACAAUAUAAAGGCACAGACAGGUAAUGAUGAACUAGCUUGUCCAGUCAACUACUCCCUCCAUUCCAAAAUACACCUCAUAUAGAUUUGUUCACUUGGACCAAAGCAGCUCUCGUUUUUAGUGCCUGACCACUCAUAUUGGGUUAAUAAUAAAUGGAUGUGAUUAGUUAUUGGCCGGGUGCGGGUACCAAGAGAAAAAUGAGGUGUAUUGUGAAACAAAUGAGAAAAAUCUAUACACGUUGUGUUGUGGAACGAAGGGAGUACUUUCUACCAAACCACAGCGCAAAGCCAGUUGUGAUGUUCCACACAGCACGCAGAGACCAGUGAAUUACAUGUAGCAUUCCCUCAACAAGGCUCUCUUGCCGUUUCCCACUCAUGCUCAUUCGCCCCUUAUCCUACUCCCAAUCUCCCCAAACCACUCUACCGAUUCCUCAUCGCACGCCGGCAUGAACGGGGAGUAAUCAAGCGAAUGACCACAGAAAAACUGUUCUAACCUGCACGCCCCCUCCAGAAACCCAGAUCUACCACGAGAACUAUCAGCCCACAGAUCCAUCUACCAAUACCCAUGGACGGAUCGAGCGAACAGGAGUUAAAAGGAUGGGAUUUGCGUGCUUCACCUGGCGAGUGGCCGAUCGGCGGAUCAGCGCCUGUGCUCCUGGACGAACUUGGAGUUCUUGAGGUCCUCCUCGGUGAACCCGGCGGUGAGCUUGGUGAUGAGGAUCCCCGUGACUGCGAAGCCGGCGAGGAAGGGCCAGUUGCGGCGCCACUCCCGGCGGAAGAAGACGGGCCACGGGUCGAAGGUCUUCAUCUCCGAUCUCUCCUCCCUUUGGAUUCAGUCCGCGAAUCAGCUCCUCUCUCUCUCCUUCGAUGUGUUGCUUCGUUCGUAGCGGCCGGCGACUACGGGAAGAGGGAGAAGAGAGAAUGGUAAUUGGAUCGGGCCAGAUUGGGCCUGGGACUUGUGGGCCAUAUUGGGCCUGGAUGUGGUGUGGAAAGUUGGGCCCGAUGAAGAGCGUUCAUUGAAAUUUGGGCUCUUCUUCUUUUCCUAGCGUUAAUUGAGUUCAGCUGAGAAGAGUUCGAGAACUCUCUCAAAAAAAAAAGAGUUCGAGAGAAUUGUCUGAAUUAGAUUAAAAAAAACUGAUACUCCGUAUUACAGUACUUAGUACAGCUUCUUUUUUGUUUUCCUUCAACAAGGAGCUAAUUAAUGGAUGUAAGAUAAAUAGAUCCAGCAUGUAGGUCUGGGGGGUCGUUAGUGGUUCAAUGACGAGCGGUUGAAUCAACGGAAAUGUUUGCAAAUAUUAGGAGAUAACCAAUACAAUGUCCGUGCGUUGCCACGGACUUAAUUUCAUUCCCUUUCACAUGUAAUAUAAUGCAUGCGAAAAUUCAUAUUUGUAGAAAACCAACAAUAUGAUUUGACAUUGAUUAAAAUUGACUUGGACUUCUAUAACUCUACCCACGGCGGAGAAAGUAUCACCAGAUAGUUACCACUCUCAACAUACACUUCUAUGUAGGUUACCUUAGGCAUGAUCUCAACAAGGACGAAAUUCGGGCAAAGAACCCGAACACCGUCGCGAAUAGCUCCGUCAAAGUAAGAAUUACUUUCAUACUCGCUGCUCCCGAGCCACACUGCUACAGAAAUACAUAUAGACGCUUUUUAUACAUCAGGUCAGUGGUGAUUUUUAUGGAUUAAUAAAAUAGCACCAAUUAAAGCUUGCAGUGUGAUUAAUUUGUGUACAUCUACUUCAUAUCACACACACAUACAUACACCAUCUUUAUACAUCAUUAUACACAGAAGUGUCAGCAUACAUCACACGGACCGGGAUUCAGUGAAGUUAGCAAUUUCACCGAGAGACUUAGCGACCUCCAUCUGCCAUUCAAUCCAUAUCUAACGGCCAGCAGUGCACAAAGGCAAAGAAAACGUCGAGACUGGCUAGUUUCAGUGUUUCAAACACCUGAAGCAAUCUGCCUUCGAUUAACACCUGAAAAUAUGGAUAGUUGGACAGAUUAUGAAAGAAAAACCUGAACAAAUCAUGAGGGGAAAACUGACCCAAUUAUGAGGAGAAAAUCUAUAUAACUGGACAGAUUAUGAGGGGAAAAUCUGUACGAAAAACUGUAACAAAAACUGAAGGUAUAAAGACUAUUGUUAUGCAUAACAGCAUAACAUUGACAGUUUGUACUUGUAGCACUCAGCACCAAUUCUCAAGGCAAAACGCUCAGCACUAUUGUUCUCCAUAAGUGAACCAAUUCUGAAGGCAAAGCGCUCAGCACCAAAAUCCUCACUAAAUCAGCACCAAAAUCCCCACUAAAUAAGCACAAAAAUUACACCUUCGGUGCAGUCAACCCAUGGGCGGGGACGCAACGGCUCCAGACGUCCUCCACGGCUGCUCCCGGCGGCAUGGCGUCUUGCUUCUCCUGCACGGAGUUGGGUCCGUCCACCUUCCCUCUGCUCCACGGAGGCGCAGCGAGCAGUUCGAUCCCGUUUCAUGCGAGCCGAUUCCCACUACAUGCGCAGCGAUCAGCUUGCUUGGAGGCCGCCGACGCCGCGCCUGGAGACGGCCGCGCCAGGGAAGCCAGCAACGCCUGGAGGCCGCCUGCCGCCGCCGCGCCUGGAGAGGCCGCCAUACCACCUGGAGGCCACGGAGCCUCUGCUCCCCGCCGACGCCGCGCCUGGAGGCGGCCGCGCCAGGGAAGCCACCGACGCCUGGAGGCCGCCUGCCGCCGCACCACCUGGAGACCACGGAGCCUCUGCAGGGGAGGCCGCCGUUGCUUGUAGGUGGAGUACCGGGACGGUUCGGGGCGUUGAAGAUGGAGACCGGGCCGCGCGGAUCCGGAUCGGGAUGGCGGCGCUAUGGACGGAGGAGGCGGCGGUGCUGGUUGGAGGAGGCGCGCGUCGGUGUAGGGAGAGAGGAAUGAGAAGGGCGAAGACGAAAAACUGCCACCACGGACGAAACCCAACUACAGAAACACUACUGCUUUUAUUAUUAGGUAAGAUAAGAUUAGUCAAACUUUACUCGUGAGUGGAGAGCAUAUGGGUCUGCUUAUUUAAAGGAUUCAAGCAAUAAGCAAUAAGCAAGUAAGAAACUCCAGACAGAGGGCGAGCUUCAUAACGUAAUUCAUAACGAGAGCAGUAUAGUAAAUAUAUGAGUAAAUUUCAUAAAACCACACUUCUUGGGGUUAGGAUUUCAACGGGCCGCAGUUAUGACUAAUGGUCUCACAAAACCACACUUUUUCGGACAGAUCUUCUCACAGAACCCAAAUCAGGUAAUUAAAAGCAUUUGAUGGUGUUUCUGUCAAGUGAGACCCACAUGUCGGAUGCCAGGUCGGAUGUGUCAAACUUUUUUUGUCCACGUCAGCUUUUGCCCGACACCCUGUUAAGCUCCUCUGUCUACCCGGGAAAUCCCGACUCGAUCCUGGCAUCCGACAUGUGGGUCCCACUUGUCAGAAACACCAUCAAACGCUCUUAAUUACCUGAUUUGGGUUCUGUGAGAAGAUCUGCCUAAAAAAAUGUGGUUUUGUGAGACUAUUAGUCAUAACUGUGUCCUGUUGAAACCCUAGUCCCAAUAAGUGUGGUUUUGUGAAAUUUACUCUAAAUAUAUCAAACAAUCUGAUGCCAAUUGCCAAGUCCACACAAGAAUAGCAUCAACUAAGACCACUCCUGUGGGUCACUUUUAUUUCAGCUUCAGGCAACAAGAACAGUAGCUUCAGGCUUCAGCAUCCCGCUUGUAUUUAAGGAUGAUGGUUUCCCUACAGGGGGAGAACAUCACACCCAGUAAGUUUGUUUCUUUGCAGAUAUGGGGGAAAUAAAUCUGUAUGUUUAAGGAGAAAACAAUAAAGUGCUCGCAAAAAGCGUGGGCUACUGAAAUUUCAUAGCAAUACCUCCUGCGUGCAUCGCAAAUGAAUCUCCUCGUAGUAUUCAACUUUCUUCAUCAGCGUCGCUCUGUUCCUGAUUCAAUUCAUUAUCAGUGUCAUCCUCUUUGAUUUCUCCAGUGAGAGUUAACCUGGGAUGGUUGGGAUUGAGAUUUACUUCCUUCCUUAUGGCGGCUGCUGCAGCCAUGCAUUCCGCAGAUGUAGCACCCUCAAUGUAAAGGUCAACCUCAAAAUCUUUCAGGCAUAAGAGGUGCUCAAUACCAAAGUAGAACCCAAAGGGUUUUGCCAUUGAUACAAAAAACGUCAACUCAAGCUUCUCGAGCUUUGGCAGUGCCCCUUCCUCAAACAGAAAGGUUGCCGCACCUCCACUAAAAGGUUCAAAAACAAACUCCUUCAAACAUUGAAAUCCUCUGCUUCGCACGGGAAUCCUGUCUUUUUGGACCUUGUUGGUACAAAGUAUCAGAGAUAGCAACGCAGGCAGCUCUCCAAGUAUGCGAAGAUCCUCCUCUGUUACUUCACUUAAAUUAAUGUUUAGGUAUGUAAGACCGGUGUGUGCUGGUGCAAUCCACGUUGGAAGUUUGGAGAAAGAGUAGUUAGCACGCAUCACAAAACUUUGGAGGGAAGAUGGCAAAGGAGACCAAGAAUCUAAGAGCUCGAAUGGAGUUGAAUUACCACCUCUUAUAAAAACAGACUGAAGUUUGUAGCCGCCAAGCUUGCAUAGUGAGGAGAGUAACAUCUCUCCAUGUCUCUUGUAGUUGUGAGUUUCUGCGUCGUCUGAUAUGUAUUGUACAUCGAGUACAUUCAAAUUGAUCAAGUUCCCUAGCUCCUCUACUGCAACAACAGAGCUCAUGGUGAUAUUAAAGCCAGAGACCUCACGCAAGUUUGUCAUAUUCCCGAUUCCAACUGGUAGCUUUGUUUCUCCAUAAUAGCUUCCAGUGAGAUGUUGUAGUUUAAUCAGUUGAACAAUGCCAGCUGGCAACUCAUUAAUGCAUGCACCCCAGAGAUCUAAUGUCUCUAGAUUAUGUAGCAUCACAACUCCUAAUGGUAGCUCUGAUAAGUAUGGGUCAUCAAAUCUCAGGUACUUUAGGUGGAACAGGUUGCCCAUACUACUCAUAUCAUACUCCUCUAGCUCCCCAUCCCCUUCAAGAUCGAGUACACGUAAAGUUUGAAAUUUAACAAGACCGGGCAAGUGUUUGAUGCAACCAGGUGGUGAUACUGUUAGAGAUCGAACAUGGCUUAAAUCUUUCUUUGCCAAUUCAGAUGCAAGCUCCUGGUCAAUGUCCUGGAUCGAUAGUCGUCGAAUUAAACAUUGAGAAUUUUCACAAACAGUUUGCCUGCCAUUUACCACCGUGAUGAAAUUCUCUUCAACGGAUUUUGAAAUAAUAAGUUCAAGCAGCAUGUCAUGAACUCGACAAGCACGAACCGUACCAUCAAAACUAAUGCCCACAGGUUGAACCAUGCUUUUGUUGAUGAGCUCAUAGAAAUAACCCUCUGCAACCUCUUGACGGCUCUUACCACGCUCUUCCGAAAUAAAUCCUUCUGCUAUCCAUCGCCUCACUAACCUUUCUCUCUCGAUCAAAUAAUCCUCUGGGAAUGUACUCAAAUAUAGCAAGCAAGUCUUGAGAUUUGCAGGAAGAUCAUUGUAGCUAAGAGAUAGUAUGUUUUUCAUGCCCUCUAAACUUUUGCUUUUGUACAAGUCAGAACCAAUUGAUCUUUUCACCUUCUCCCACUCCUCUUUCACAUGUGGUUUGUUUGCCAAUAAACAAGAUAUACUGAUAAUUGCCAAUGGUAGGCCUCCACACUUUUUCAAGAUUUCAGCUGAAACUUCUUUCAGCAUAUCAGGGCAGCAGUCCUCUGAGCCAAAAAUUCUUUUAAAAAAUAGUCUUUCAGAGUGAAGAUUACUUAGAGGUGUCAUUUCAUAGAUCUUGUCAUCAACAUCUGGACAACAAAAUCUUGCUACUUCAAAUAUGCGCGUAGUAGCUAUAAUUCUGCUAGAACAGUUGUUCUCUGGGAAAGCACACUUGAUAGCGUUCCACGCUAAUAUGGACCAUACGUCAUCAAUAAUGAUAAUGUACCUAAUUAAUGGAUGUUAGUAUUUAACUGAGAUAAAAUCAAUCAAUUGUGAUAAAUAUGGAAUUCCACUAGAAUGUUUUUGACAAAUCGUAAAACUCCCACAGCGAUAAUAAAAUCAAUUUACCCAUUCUUUUAAAAAAGUCUUUAAGUACUCAAACUAUAUUAACACAACUUAAUGCUUAUACUUCCAUGUAUCAUGCCCAUUUAAUUGAAGUACAAUUCUUUAGUUACAACUGGAACUCAAAUCUAUAGUACAAUUUAAGUUCAGUUUGUUAGAGUUACAGUUGUAUAUGUUUUCCAUUUGCUGUGUAUUUUCUCCAUUGUAUAAGGAGUUUCCUGCAUGAUUACCACACCAGUAUGUGUAUUUAUAAUUAUACAUGCCGUUGGCCUCAGGGGCAGAGCCAGGAAAGAAAUUAAGAGGGGGCAAUUAGACACUCUUAAGCAGCUAUAAUAUAAUUUAGAGGGGGCAUCAAUGGUGGAAAUCUAAGAUUUACUUUGGUAUGCCAUAAUUGAGUGGGGGAUGGAGUUGAGUUGUAUAUCUUUUUCCAUAUAUCUAUUGUGUAUUCUCGCAUUAUAUAAGAAGUUUCCUCUAUAUUUACCAUGCAUGUGCGUGUAUUUAUACUGGCCCUUGGUCUCCAGGAAAGGAAUACCUCACACAGCUAAUUAUGUGGUAAAUGGUACAAUACAACUAGUGGUGCAAUGUUGUUUCUUCUAUGAAAUUUUGAAAGUACAUGCAGAACCAGUUAACUGAAAUUAGCAGUAUGCCCACGAGAUAUGUUUUGAAGGAAACAAUAAGUUGAAAUUACCUCUUAUCAUGUAGUAAUUCUCUUAGCAUUGCAAAUGAUUUCUUUUCGUCCCAAGCUUGCAUAUCUUUUUUUAACUCAUCCUGGCAAGGCCCCUUGGGUAUCACUUGGGAGAUCAGUUGGUAGAUCGCAUCCUUGACAAUUUUCUUUGUAUCUGGUUUUUGCGAGACAGAAACAAAAGCAUGACAAUGAAAAUGCCCUUUAAUUUUGCGAUAGACUUCAUUCGCCAGUGUUGUCUUUCCCAAUCCACCAAAACCAACAAUAGACAAGACCUUGCGAUGGUCUUUGUUUUCAUCUUCCACCAUCCACUUGGCAAGAUCAUCUCUUGGACCAUCAAUACCCACAAGGUGUGCCUCCUCAGCAAAAAGAGCAGACAGGCGGGGAUCCACAACUGCAUGGCUGGAGAUGCUAGAAGCAAUAUCAUCCAGCUUGUAACUAGUCUUGAGAUCUUUCACUUCCUUGAUACGAGCCUUCAGGUCAUCGAUUUGGUCGGCGAUUCCACGCCGAGCCCCAAGCGUCUUUAGACGGCGAGCCGCCUUGCGGAAGAGCUCCUUGAAGCCGCCAUCAUGGCCACCAUCGCCGAGUUGUUGAACGAACUUAUCGAAGCAAUCCUCGGUGUCAUAGGCCAGCUCCCUGACCAGCGACAUCCAUUCCUUCACCUGGUCAUCAGGAUCCUCCAGCUUCGUGUACUUUUUUAGCGCACCAUGCAUGCUGGUAAGCUCAGACCGGAGGGACCGGAUCUCGCGGCGGACUCCUUUCAGGCGGCCGCACUCAUUGGCGAGCAGAUUUGUGAGCUUCCCCAACAGGGGACCAAACGCGCCAAGUGAAGCGCUCACUGCAGCCUCCAUCGGUCCCUCCUCUGGUCCCGGCGUGUUUGCUUGCCGUCCACUGGACCGUACGGCAGCGGCAGCGGCACAAACAAGAAUAAUCAGUGAGAAUAAUAAUCAAUAAUCAGCAGCAGCAGCAGCAGAAGGAGGAUUCAAGAGAAGGAUCAGCAGCCUCACCGUCGCCGCACUGUCCAGACGAAUCACCACGCAAAGGUUCCGCCACGGCGCCGCAGCCACAAGCUAACUGGAUGCAGCAGAGCCGCCGCAGCGGCAGCGGCAGCGGAGACUGACUGGAGCGGGAUCCCUCGAUGGAUGAUGUCGAUUGCUUUGGCUCUCGGCCCGGUAGGUGUAGGAUUGUAGUCGAAGGUGAAUGAUUGAUGCCUUGAUGGUGAACCCCAUGUGGGAGGCUCAGGCCUCAGGGGACCCAACGAGCACCCGGGAGCAGGGGACCCAACCCAGCCCAAAAAUUCCUCCUCGAUCUGUCCUCGAAUCUCCGCUUUAUCUCUCUCGCUUUCAUGGCCAGGGUUUGUGCUCCUCACCUGGACCAACUAAUUGGAGCUCUUGAGGUCGUCCUUGGUGAUGAGGAUGCCGGUGACGGCGAGGCUCCCGCCGGAAGAACACCGGCGUCUUCUCGAUGUGUUGCUUCGUUCGGCGGCCGGCGGCGAUGACGGGGAGGAGUAGAGAGUGGUUAUGGAUUGGAUCGUGGUGGGCUUCUGAGUCUUUUUUAGGGUAUGGUGGGCUUCUGAACUUUUUCUAGGGUAUAGUGGGCUUCUGAUGGGUCCGACCGGAGGUAUGGGCCACAAUUGGGCCUGCUCGAGUGAUCGGUAACUUUUAGGCUGUUGGUUAAAAGAAACGGAUAGCUUCUGCUUCUUCUUUGAGGGAAAUGCUAUGAGCAGCUUCUUCUACUUUUUCCCAGACUGUAUGAACUGAAUUAGCUCGGAUCUGAAUUCUGGAGUUCAUUUUUUAUAUGGAAACUUUAUUAUUUAAAGAACAGGAUUACAGUCCGCAACCAAAAGAUUUUUUUUUUAGAAGGGCAGUCCGCAACCAAAAGAUCUGCAAAUCUGCAAUCCCGUUAGGAGCAUCUUAUAACCACAAGUUGGUUAUGCGUCACACUUCAUAAAAAUUUAUGGCACAUAAGUAUGCUGCCUUGAUCAGGUGGAUCACCAUGAAUGCAAUUUUUCAGUUUUGCCUAGCUAGCUACAAUGAAUGCAAUUAUCCAGAUGUAUUUCUGGCUUGUUAUUGGCUCCAGGACGAGCAGUUGAAUCAAAAGAAGUAUUUGCAAAUAAAAAGCAGGUAAUUAAAUCGUACUCACUCAUGACUAUGACUGAAGUACUGAACAAGCAUAUUGUCUGCUUAUUUAAGUUACAAUCAAGUACAUAAGCACGAAGCUCCAGUCCACGCAGAGGGCGAGCAUCAUGAUACAAUUCUUCACAAAUUAUAGUAAAUAGAUGGAGACAUUCUGAUGCCAAGUUCAUACAACUAAGACCACUCGUUGUGGGCCACUUUUAGGGAGAAAGGGAGAGACCAUAAGACCGUCAGAAAGGUUCUGGAAGAUAUGGAGAAAAUGUGUAAGUUCAAGGACAAAACAAUAGAGUUAUCACAGAAAGCAUGAGCUACUGAAAUUUUGUAAUAAGAAUGAUAUCGAUACCUCUUGCAUUGUAAUACUUCAACUUUCUUCGUCCCAAUGCUCCACUUUCAAACCUCCCUCCAAUGUCUCCACAUAGAGAGUUACCCUGAGAUGGUUGGGAUGGCGACUUGCUUCAUUCCUUAUGGCAAGUGCAGCAGCCUUGCAUUCGGAAGAUGUGGCACCCUUGUCAAGAACAACAAUUGCAUCCUUCAGACAUCGUAGAUGCUCAAUACCUAAGUAGAACUGAUAGACUUUUGCCCUUGAUACACAGAACCACAACUCAAGCCUCUCGAGCUUUGGUAAUACCGCUUCCUCAAACAGAAAGGUCCCUGCACCUCCACCAAAAGUUCUGUAAGAAAACUCCUUCAAACAUUGGAAUCCUCUGCCUUGCACAAGAAUCCUGUCUUCUUGAACCUUGUCGGUACUAAGAGUUAGAGAUAGUAAUGCAGGCAGCUUCCCAAGUAUGUGAAGAUCCCGCUUUGUUACUUCAGUUAAAUUAAUGUCUAGGUAUGCAAGACUAGUGAGUGCUGGUGAAAUCCACUUCGGAAGUUUGGAUAAAGAGUAGUCAGCAAUCAUCUCAAAUCUUUGGAGGCAAGAUGGCAGAGGAGACCAAGAAUUUAAUAACUCAAACAGAGUCAAAUUACCACCAUUUAUACAAAGGGACUGGAGUUUGUAGCUGCCAAGCUUGCAUAGUGAGGAGAGUAACAUCUCUGCAUGUCUCUUGUACUUGUGAGAUUCUUCACUGUUACAUGUGUACCGUACAUGCAGUACAUUCAAAUUGAUCAGACUACCUAGCUCCUCCAAUGCACAUACUGAACUCAUGGUAAUAUUGAAGCCUGAGAACUCCCGUACGUUUGUCAUGUUCCCAAUCCCAAUUGGUAGCUCUGUUUUCUCCGGUCCAUCGAAAUUUUCGAUGAGUAGACGUUGUAGUUUAAUGAGCUCAACAAUUCCAGCUGGCAACUCGUUAAUGAAUGUAUCCCUAAGAUCUAGUGUCUCUAGGCAACGUAGCAUCACAAUUCGUGAAGGUACCUUUGAUAUGUCCGUGUCCCUAAAACUCAAGUACCGCAGUUGGAAUAGUUUGUCCAUACUAUUCAUAUCAUACUCCUCAAGACCAUCGCAACCUUCAAAAUCCAAUACACAUAAAGCCUCAAAGUCAACAAGACUAGGCAAGUAUUUGAUGCAACUUGAUGAUGUUACUGUCAGAGAUCGAACAUGGCUUAGAUCUUUCUUCGCCAAUUCAGAUGCAAGCUGCUGGUUAAUGUGUUGGAUAGAUAGUCGCCGAAUGAAGCAUUGAGACUGUUCCCAAACAGUUUGAUUGCCGCUUACCACCGUGAUGAAAUUCUCUUCAAUGGACUUCGAAAUGAUAAGUUCAAGCAUCAUGUCAUGAACUCGACAGGAACGUGCCUUACCAUCAUAGCCAAUGUCCACUGGUUGGACCAUGCUUUUGUUGAUAAGCUCAUAAAAGUAAUUCUCUGCAACAUCUUGACAACACUGCCCACGUUCUUCAGAAAUAAAUCCCUCUGCUAUCCAUCGCCAUACUAGCCUUUCUCUCUCAACCACAUAAUCCUCAGGAAAAUUACUUAAAUACAACAAGCAAGUCUUGAGAUUAGGUGGAAGAUCAUUGUAGCUCAGGGAUAGUAUGCUUUUCAUUCCCUCUAGACUUUGGCUUUUGUUCAAGUCAUAACCAAUUGAUCUUUUGACCUUCUCCCAAUCUUCUUUCACACGUGUUUUGUUUGCCAGUAAACCAGAUAUACUGAUGAUUGCCAAUGGUAGGCCACCACACUUUUUCAAGAUAUCAUUAGAAACUUCUUUCAACAUAUCAGGACAGCAGUCCUCUGAGCCAAAAAUUCUUUUGAAAAACAGUUUUUCAGAGUGAGAAUUACUUAGAGGUUUCAUUUCAUAUAUCUGGUCAUCAGGACAUGGACAACAAGAGCUUGCUACUUCAAAUAUGCGUGUGGUAGCAAUAAUUCUGCUAGACAAAUGGUUCUCUGGAAAAGCACACUUAAUAGCGUUCCAUGCUAAUGUAGACCAUAUGUCAUCAAUAAUGACAAGAUACCUAAUACAUGUUAGUAGAUAGCAUCAGCUGUGAUAUAGUAUAUGGAAUUCCAGAAGAAAAAUGAAAGAACUGUAAGACUCCAAAAUCAUAUAAUACUUAGAUACUAAAACUAUAUUAAAACAAUCAUAUGUUCGCUAAGAGUUGAUAUAGUUUUGGUAGUGUAAGACUUUUAUCCGUCAUAUGAGUGAGAAAAUUUAGUAGAUUGAAUUCUUCACUUUAUCCCUGUACAUACAUUGUAAAUUGUUUUGUUCACUUCCUUUAUUUAUAAGAAUAACUAUACUCUUUAUUGUUUGCUUCAACAGAUUAUUAAUGCAGAGAAUAGAAAUAACAUUGUGAACUCCUACAAGGGCAACAGAGCAGGCAUACAACACUGACAGCGCCCACCAGGGUACUGGUGUUCAAAUUCACACACACACAAGUUCUUUGUUAGUUCUUGGCAUGCAUGUGUGCGUUUACCUUGUAACUGGAAACAAUUGGGAACUCAAGAAAUAGUUUAUAUUUUCCAAUGCUAAGCAUUUUAGCCAAGUUUUAGAAGUAAAUAUGUCACAUACUAAUUUACAACUAGCAGGUUACAAUAUUUGUAGCUCGUUCCAUUUUAAUAGGUUCCUGAAUUAUGCUAAGCCAUGUGAUCACAAGAACAGCUGGUGAUGCAAUGUUGUUUUCUUAUGUAAGUAAAAUAAAACAACAUGCUAGAAACAAUCUAUACCACGAAUAAUGACAAUUAAAGCACAAGACAUAUGUUGCACAAAAUAAUAACACUGGAAAUUACCGCUUUUCUUGUAGUAGUUCUCUUAGCUUUGCAAUGGAUUUCUUUUCAUCCCAAAUCUCCAAAUCUUUAGUAAAUUCAUCCUUGGAGGACAGUUGGGAGAUGACAUCCUUGAUAAUUUUCGUCGUGUCUGGCUUUUGCGAGACUGACACAAAGGCAUGACAAUGAAAAUGUCCUUGAAUCUUACGAUAGAUUUCAUUCGCCAAUGUCGUCUUUCCCAAUCCACCAAACCCAACAAUAGACAACACCCGUCGAUGAUGCUUGUUUUCUUCUUCAAGAAUCCACUUGGCAAGAUCAUCUCUUGGACCGUCAACUCCAACAAGGUGUGCCUCCUCGGCAAAUAGAGCAGACAGUCGGGGAUCCACGGAUGUUUGGCCAGAGGAGCUGCAAGCAAUAUCAUCCAGCUUGUAACUAGACUUAAGAUCUUUCACUUCCUUGAUACGAGCCUUGAGGUCGUCGAUUUGGUUGGCGAUUCCAUGCCGAGCUCUAAGCAUCUUUAGACGGCGAGCUGUCUUGCAGAAGAACUACUUGAAGCCACUGCCCUUGCUGCCAUUGCCGAGGUGGUGAAUGAACUUGUCAAAGCAGUCCUCGGUAUCGUACGCCAACUCCCUCACCAACGAUAUCCAUGCUUUCACCUGGUCAUCAGGAUCCUCUAGCUUGCUAUACUUCUUUAGGGCACCAUGCAUGCCCGUGAGCUCAGCUCGGAGUGAACGGAUCUCACAGCGAACGCCUUUCAGGCGGCCGCACUCAUCGGCGAGUAGAGUGGUGAGCUUCCCCAGGAAGGGGCCCAACGAACCCUCCGAAGCGCUGACCACCUCCAUGGAUACCUCUAGCUAUUCCAUUCCAUCUCCCGUUUUUGUUUGUAUGCUUCAAGUGGAGACAACUCAGGAGGUGCAAGAACGAAGAAGCAAUCUGGCUUAACUAUUAGCUGCAAUAAUAUUUUCUUCCGCUCAGCUAACGAUGGCUGGCAUGUGCAGGGGGGACGCAUGCUACCAUAGAAGCAAACUCAGAAUUCAGGUCAAACUAGGACAGGGAUAGACACUCGUUAGCAGUAAUAAAUUUCAGGUCAACAAAAUCCAAGCCAUAAAGAAAACAUCAACACGGCAUCUUGCCGGCCACUUGCGCAAUUCGACUAUAUUCAAACCUCGAUUUGACAACGACACCAGCUCUACACUAACAUUUCUCCCAACUCCUCCUAUACUUGACUUGCAUCAAGCAGCAACUGAGAAGAAAUAAUUAUAUCAAAUGAUCCCGUUACAGAAGGCUGCCAAAUAAUCUUGCGCCCCGUAGCGAACCACAGAUCUAGCCAAGACACACCAAUGGGUUUAAUUUAAACAGCGGUCGGUUGUCACCUGGAGAUAGAUUGAUCGCUGUGCUCCUCCUCAGUGAAGCCGGCUGUGCCCUGUAGGCAUGGGGACGAGGAUGCCGGAGACAGCGAAUCCGGCGACGGAGGAGCAGUUUCGGGUUGGGUACACGGCCGUAUAUGGGGGUCGAAGGACUUCAUCUCCGACCAAUCUCCUCUCUCUCUGCCCCCUCUGUCCGGUGUGGCGGGGGGCGAGCCGGCGACGAAGAUGAAGGGGGAGAGUGGUAAUGGGCUGGUGGGUUUCUCAUGGGCUGCGUGCCUGGAUCUGUAUUGGGCCCACCUGCUUUCUUCUCCGAAUAAAGUACACAGUAUAGAGUUCACCGCAGAUGUGAUAGAUUUAUACCGAUUUUGAUUAUUACGACGCGCCCGGCCUUAUAGUUGAGAAGAAAAGGUUUGAUUGUAAGAGGAUGCUCCAGUGGAUGUAGAAAUUGUAAUGACAAAUGCAUUUGGAAUGGAAAUUAUAUUGUAUUGAGUAACAUGCCAUUACAUGGAUUUGAGAAGUAAGAUAAGCACCAUGGGAAUAAACUGCUAUCAAAUGUUUUGCAUGUAGAGAUAAAGAAUGGAAGCAUUUUAUUCAGUUGGCCGACUGGUUUUCUGAUGAAAGUUGGCGGUGCUCUCAAAUAUCUUUUGUUCAAUCCAUUCAUGCAGACAGUUUGUUGCAUGAAUCAUAUCUAUGUGAGUACCGUCGACAUAGUUCGUAAGAUAGGGUACCAAGUGCGCUUCCACAUAUGUUGCUUAUUGAUUCUUCAGCUAACUCCAUGUCAUUUAGUAGUACUUUCCAUCCUUCCUUGGAAUGUUUGGUCAGUGUAGUUUGUUCUUCUAAUUUAUUUUGAAGAUAACUACUCUCGAUCUUCAGUUUUUCUUUAUGGUGAUCAUUCAUAGUCUUCUCAGAAAAAUUCAUGUCAUCAAUUUGAAACAUGUAUUCUUUUUUCAGUACCUCUAUGAGAGCUGUUGCUGCAGCUUCCUCUGCAUCCAUCUUAUUGUUAGCCCGUUCUAUAUAUCCUGAUUAAGGUGUCACCAACGGGUAUCACACACCAAUGGAUAUCACGCAAGAAAUCAUGCAGAAAAAUAGAUACACAGAAGUAUGAACUAAUGAAUAUCACAAUUUCAUAGUUGCAGGAAAUAAACCAGGGACAUUAAAAAAUUUAAAAAAUUAACAAAGAUGGAUGCAAAGAAGCGCAAGCUAACCUGAGCAGGAGCCAUUUGCAAACUUGGAAGUCACGGAAGCUUUUGGAAGCCGGUCAGUAGCAAUUCCCGCAAAACUGACUGCAAUAACAGUAACAAAAGAAUGAAGCAUACAAAUAGCCACCGUACCAAGAAAAAAUUAAGCUGCCAUCUGUCCAUAGGAAAAAAGGAGGAACCUACCUAGGCAGCAACAAUGGCUGCCGGCAGGGGAAGUGGAAGAAACGGGAUUAACAAAGAUGCAGAAAAGGUAUAAAUAGAAGGGAUAACCAAAGAGCCUACCUAGGCAGCACCCACUCGGAUUUCAGUCCAAUGAUGAUAAAUGUGUAUUUAUACUAAAUAAGGGAGUAAUGGUAAUGGAGGAGGAGAAUGGAAAGUAGCAGCAAGCAAUUGAAGUGAAGACGCAUUACCACCAUUAAAACGAUUUAGGGCUAUCAUGACAUUGAAUACGGGACACACCUGUCCACCUCCUCCGGGCGUGGGGGGCUGGUCCCGGCAUGCCCGUUCACCUCCGCCCGCUGCGCACGGAGGUGGGGGCAUGGAGUCCAUCGGGUCGCUGCGCGGUUGGGGCGGACGGGAGGAGAAGCGACUCGAGCCGUCAAGCGAGGGGCAUGGAGGCCACCGCUGCGCGGUUGGGGGGGGCCGGGAGGAGAAGCGACUCGAGCGUCCUGAGAUCGAUCGCGGGUUUUUUUUCUUUCCCGAGGGCUAGGGGGUUUCACGGAGACAUGGGCCAGAUGCAGCGAGGGAGGCUAUUUCAGCCCAACUACUGAGAUUGCAUCCAUUUUCCUGACGGAGCAGCGGCCCAGCCAGCAGGCACGAGCCCCAGGCACGUUUGGACAGCCGAAUAUGGAAAAAAAAAACCGAUCGGACGGCUGAGAGAGGUGAUGGCCUGAGAACGCUCGGAGUCUGUCCCAUUUUGUUGUCUCUAAUUACUAAUAUUUUAUUACUUUCAUUGAGCUUCAGGCGGAGCAAAAUGCUGAAGAAACAAAGAGUUAUGUUUAUUUCCAUAAAAAAACCAACAAAAUCUAUUCCACAGACAGACCUCACUGUAGUUUCUCACUAACUAAUGUAUCUCUAGAAUUCCAACAUUCAAAGAGCAUACUGAUCUAGCCACCGUUGAAACAUAGCAAAACACUCCUUCGGCCUGAAUUCAGGAGCAGUGUGUCCAGCACCCUGUGAAGAGUCAUAAAAGUGGAAUUAUUUUCAAAUCUUACAGACUAAACCCACUUACUAAAAGACGGGGAAAUUAAAUGGUAAGAAACAACAGACCUUCACAGUCGCAAAUGUGAGAUUGUUGGAAUACAUCCUUGUGUACCUGCAAAAUUUGUGAUAUCAGAUGCACAUGUACCUCACACAAUUGGGCCAAGAGCCGCUUGAAACCAAAUCGACACAAUGUGAUGGUAUAGACAGGGAGCUCACCCUGCGACUUGUCCGGUGACAUACCAAGGCCUCCACUCAUCCACAAUGGAGAAAUCAAGUUGCCUGAUCCACGCUUGGGUUGCAAGAUAAGGCACGACCAUGUCAUGGUCGCCACUAAAGAAAUAUAUGAGGUAUUAAGUGCGAUUGCCCAUUACUAAAUCAAUAAUUCAAGUCAAAUGGCUAUCAGCACUUCAUCUUACCUGUAUACUAGUGCACGGUAACCCCUUGUUAUCAAAAUGAGAUGAUACGGGACUGCACUUUCGAUGUCUCUAGUGUACCAGGAUGCGUCAUAACGUUUGCAUCUUUUCCAUUUGGAAAUUGAUCCCUGCACCACAGCUUUUGAAUUAGUGUAGUUGGUUAGGCAGGACAGCUAAACCAACAUAAAAACAUACAAGUACCUCGCGUAUGCCAAGUGACAGUCUAACAGCAUCACUGUUUGCCCAAAGUGGUGAGAGGAGGUAACCGAAGUACUGCCAAUCAAAGAAAGCUGAGAUUUAACACCAUAAACUUGCAAAUUCAGCAUCUCCUUCUGAACAAUGCACAUGUUAAGUCGUGGGAAUAAAUCUUCACAUACUCUAGAUCUUGAAGGAAUUGUGGAGACAGCUGAGGAAAUCACUUCAGCAUUUUCCUCAGUUACAGAAAGCUCCCUUCUAACUCGAGCAUAGAGUUCACCAGAUCUUGUAGAAUCCAAGGGAUAGUCCGCCUCUAAGAUAUGAAACUUAUUUAUAUCUUUUACGCACUGCAAUGUCAUGGUAAAUAUGGGAACAUAUCACACAUAGUAGUUGAUGGACUACAUACAGGUUGAAGCUUGAAAGACACAGGAAAAGGAAAUUGCAAGACGUGAUGUAGAAAACAGAAGCACACCUCGUCGAAAGACUGGAUGUUCUUCUGACACUCAAAAUUCUUGUUAUCCAAAUAGACUCCACCACAACUUCUUUUCGCCGACUAUUAAAAUGGAAACAACAGACGGUGCAAGUGCAACCAAAAAAAUUUCUGAUUAUAGAAAUUUAGUUGAAAAUUCUGAGUCAUGCAAUAUAGCGAAAAGAAAGUUUAAGAUGCAUUCGCUUCCCAGAACAUAAAAGAAUAUGUUUGACAUGCAUAUACAUGUAAUAAAAACCUAUAAGUACAUCAUUGGGCAUAAGUUGGUUUAGUCAACAAUAAUACCAUGUACCACCUGUUCGACAAUGCUAUCUCUAGAUGGUCAACUACAAAAACAUAGUACUCCCUCGUUUUCAGUUUGUUAGGUCCAUCUCUAAAAUCAUGUUAACCAAGAGACAGUUGUGCGGGAAGAACGAAACAAAUUCAUGAAAAAACUGGCCAAUAAACGUUCCCGUUUUCCCCUAGAACUAAUUUUAUUUCUUUAACACCCUCGCAUGUUGGGUCAAAAAUUCUUCGCUCGUUUAAUGCUUGCAUACAGGCCCAUUAACUCGCCCGCUGAUUACAAAGCAUAUAUAGGUUGCAGUUUUAAUGCAGAAAUGAAAAUGACUAAAUGAGCCUUACAAACUAAAACAUCUACAAUUUGAAGAUGGGCCUUGCCAACUGAAAAGGAGGGAGUAGCUUUUAACAACUUUUGGGGUUUAAUUUUUUUAGCAGACUAAACCAUGUUUAUUACUAUCUUCAGUACUACAAGUCUGGGGUCACUAUUACAAGUUUGGAGCUGAAAGCGUCAACGUAUUUGAUGUCAGGAAUAUAGUUUUGUUCUUAUUCAGAACAGAACAUGCUUAUCCAAAAAUAUACACAUGGUGGAAACUUGUACUAAGAAACUUUCAGAAAUUACAAAAAAACAUGAAGAAAAGCUGCAUUAACACCUCAUAUAACUCAUCAGAAAUGAGACCCAUGCCAUGAGCAAAUGGAAUUUGAGCAUUGGUUUCGAAGUUGUCAUCAGUUACUGGGUUGCCAACAACGUAACCCUGAAUGAGAAUGAGAUUAUCUAGAUCAAGUCAGAUAAAAAAUGGAGUAUAUAAUCGUUGGCUUGCAUAAUCAUAUAAUGUCCUAGGACUCCCUAAUCUUAGGGAGGUGUAGAAUGACAUGGCAUUAGUUGAGUAAAUUUUUCGCAGGAAUUAGAAGAAGAAAAAUGCUACUACCUCCGAUCCUAAAUUGUUGUCGUUGUUUUUGUUCAAAUUUGCACUAAAACAACAAGAAUUUAGGAUUGGAGGGAGUAAAUCACAAAAAUAGAACAUUUAAAUGUACUACAAUAUUAUAUGAAUUCUAAAUUUCAACUCAAACCUAACACGUAACAAAAAGUUAUUAUAUUCAACAUUCUUUAAGAAGUACUUCGUUUCAAUUCGUGAUUACUGUCUACUAAGAUAAUAAGGCAUAUACUGCAAAGUGACAGAUUAUUGAAUAGAGUAAGACAUAUAAUAACUUGAGUUAACCAUAUUACUGGAUAAGGUGGUACCCUACCUAUAUCUGUAGAGUAAAGGAGUAUGUUUUCUAAGGCCAACAAACCUUUAGAUUGAAAAAUGGCAUGUUGCUAAAUUCAUCUUCUGCAAACAUGUGUUGAGAAUUUUAUGUUAUUGCCAAUAUUAGCAAAGGUACCAAAGCUAUUAGGAGGAAAAAUUAUUAGGAAAGGCACCCAAGUUAUACCAUUAGCUAUCUUUGAUGCGACAACUGGUACAAUCAGACCAGCAUAUGAAUCGCCGGCGAUAUAGAGAGGAUUGUUUUUAAAAGAAUUGUGAUUAUCAAGCCACUGCAUACAAAAUGAAAACCAGUUGAGUUUGUCAGUCUUCAGUUAUCCCUUCAUUUGAAGUGUAAAACUAAAUGCAAACCAACUGACUGCAAGGAGCUACAAGAGGAAUAUCGCAUACCUUCCUAAGAAAUUCAAGGAUCUGUGAAGCCAUUUGGGUAUCACUUGAAUGGUACGCAUCACCUUCACGACAAUAGGAAAACCCAGCAUUGAUGGGGGCAUCAAUGAAGAUGAUAUUGCUUACCUGACAACAAUAACAGAAGAAUGCGCAAAAGUACAAAUGAAGUGAUGGACCAAGAGAAAAGCUGUAAACUUGCCAUACCUUAGUCCAGGAAUCUGCUCUAUACGCCAAAGUAGGCACAGUUGAAGAACGACUUUGCAUGUUGAAACUUAGGGGACCUACAAUUGUUAUAGUGGGGCAGUUUGUUUAUUUGCAAAUUUGCAAUCUAAUUGUUUCUCAUGUUGCUGCAAGACAUAGAAACAUUGAAGAGUGCCAAUCUAGCAUUUAGCAAGAUGGAGCGUCCAUGUUGUGAAGUCAAUGAGUUAUGCCCAUGAAAUUUACUUUUCUAAGCUUUCUACUAUCGAAUUGCAGAACUCUGAAAAGUCAUGACAAAUUUUUUUCCCCCAAGAAAGGAGACAAUCUCCCAACUGCAUUAGCGACACUGAGUGUUCGGCAUUACAGAAAGUAAAGCACAAAAUAAGCUCCACGGGAGGGCUAGGAUGAGUAUGAACCUCGUCUUUGGAGGUAGUGGCGGAAGGGCGUCUGCCGCUGCAUCCUGCCAUCCUUCUUCCUCCCGCCACGGAGCUUCACCACCGAGGCAAACUCCUCUUUCUUCUCCGGUUCAGGAGGCUCCGCAGCCUUCUUCGGUUCUUCCGCCCGCCACGGCGGGUCGCCAGCGCUACUUCCUCCUUCUCUCCUCGUCAUCCCUCUCAGGUUGAGGGGGGGCUCCCCUGCCAUCUUUCGCCAUCCGUUUCUUCCGGGGCCUCUGCAGCCGCCUUCUUUCGCCCACCCUAGAUCAGGAGGGGACGAGGGGCGCGCCGUUGAGGAAGGUACCGUUGCAGGCGCCUAGAUCAGAGACGACCCACCUGGCGGCGGGCGGUGGCAGGAAUUCGAUGGCGAGACGGCGAGGGUCGUUGCCUUUGGAGACGCGGCCGACGACUUGGGGGAGGCAUUGCCGGAUCUCUCCCUUGCGUGAGCCCCUCUCCACCGCCAGCGUGAGCACCAGCGCCGGAGCGGCCAUUGGAGGGUCCGGUGGGGAAUCGAAGGUCGGAGACGACGGAGAGACCCCGAGUGAGGAGAUUUCGAAAAAAUUUGGGAGAGAGCGAUUUUGGGCUUUCGGGAUCAUUUACGAGAAUGCCACUUCGAGACAAACAUGGCCACGGGGCUGGCCUCGGCCCGGCAUCCCAGUAAACGAGCCAUGCCUGGCCCAAGUCCCUGAAGCCCGACUAUAACCGGUCCGAGGCCACAGGAGUGUAUGAAACCCGCUCACACCAAAAGAUUCACGUGUUUCACGUUUCCUCUAAAAAAAAAAAUCACGUUUUUUUUUCUCUUCUUAGAAAAGAAGAAAGUUUCACAUUGUCCUACCAUCACGGUCGAUAACUGAAAUGCAUUUACGCGCCCCGUAGCUCCUUGUAACCAUUAUCGAUAAUGAAUAAAGAGGUAUUUUACGUGGUAAAAGAAACUCAACAUAUCAUGACACAUCUUUUUUUUUCCUUUUUUUUUGCAAAAAUGAAGACCCUAGCCCUUUCCGCCAUUUUUAUUGACCGCCCGGUGGCUGUGAGCACCCACCAUGAAUUGUCUGGAAUUUUGACUUUGCUAGCCGCUAUGGGCUAUGGAGGGAGAGGUGCCAAGGAAGGCAAGCUGGUGGGCGAGGGAGUUUUGGUGGUCCAAAUUAGGCGGCUUGCUAAUGACAUGUGGUGCUUCCGGUGAAACUCCUGCUUCCAUUUUGGUCGACGUCGGUGAGAACAACAUCCAGGAUGUUGUCUCUCUCAUUCGAGGCAUUGUCAUGUAGCUCUGGCUCACCCACCUCGUGUCUUUUGUGCUCUUGGGGUGAAACCCCCAAAUCCAGUUUCUCCAUAGCGGGCAAAGUAACGUUUACGUCGUUUUCUCCUUGGAGGUAUCGUAUUGAAGGCCUUGACCCCUGACAGGGUCAUCUUCCCAUGCAAAACGGUGGAAGCGGGGAUGACGGUCCCGGAAAGUGCAGUAGUGGCUUAACGGCCGGGCAGAGUCGCAACUUAGCAUGCCAUGGAUGGUGCUGGUGCGGCAAGGUGGUCGAUCUGGUAGUUAACACGACCUAAUAGGGUAAUUUCGUCAUGGGGGGUCGGGCAGGAGUUGGUGCAGAUAGGGUCGCGGACUUGAGAUAGCAUGACACUACAACUCAUGGACGAGUGAUGGAUGUCGGUACGGUAGCCUCGUUGGGUAGCUAGUGUCGGCUUCCCGUGCAGAGUGCAUGCAGCAGAGCAACGGUCGAUGGCUCCGAACAUGACCUAUAUCUACUCCUCCCUAGUAGACCUAGCCUUUCGCCCCGUGGUGGCGAUUGGCAAGGCCGUGACUUCUUCUGCUUGUUGCGUUUUUCUUGUUAUCGGCUUGUGCUCUCCGUUCCGGUACAUGAGGCUCUCACGCAUCCUUAGGUUGAAGAUUUUAACUAAUUUAACAUGAGCUUUGUAUUACAAAAAUUACACCAUUAAAACUUUAAAUAUUUGUUUCUAAUAAUAUAUUUUUGUGAUAUAAAAACAAUGUUACAUUAGUUAAAUCUUCAACCUAGAUAUACGUUGGGGCCUCAUGUACCGGAACGGAGGCAGCGGUACUACUACUAAUCACUAAUAUUGGUACUAAAAUCGAAAAAGAAAACUCCGAAAUUUUAUACCGGUAAAGAAAUAAAAACCUGGUUGAUGCAUACCUAUCUCGUAGAGCAGAGCUGAUAGGCCCGAGCAGCCUGGCCCUCCGGUGAGCCACAGCACAAGCGGGUCCUCCGCAGGGUCUCUCUCCGACUCGAUGAAGUAGUAAAACAUGGAACCAUCGUGUUGCUCAUCAACCUCCACGUAUCUGCAGGGACCGUUUUCGUCUCGAGUUUCAUUAGGAAAAGAGAAUUGAAAUCAUCCCGAAACAGUGGCUACGGAAAGUAAGAAAAGGAAAGGAUACCCCCAAGUCCCCAUCAUGUGAUGAAUGAAGUAGUACAGAAUAAAAACCUUCAAAAUUUGACUAAUUAUAAAAAAAAGAAAUAAGUGUCUGACUUCGUCCUUCAACUUAUUUCCAAUGCGAAUUUAGUCUCUCAACUCACAAUACCGGGCUAAUCUCGUCCUCUGACUGGUUUAGAGCGGUCCAAACCGGGUAUGACCAUGACGUGGCAGAUUUUGGGCUGUUUUACUUGCCACGUAGGUGGCUUAGACGGCAGAUUAGAGCAGGGCCCACGAACUAAUCUCUCUUCCUUUCUCAUUCUCUCUUCCUUUUCUAUCGCACGAGACUCUCUUCCUUUCUCGUUCUUUCUGAUCUCCUCUCCCUAACCCCCCAGUUCCCCGUCCUGCACGAGAUACACGAAAAAACAAGGAGAUGAGAAUCCCCACCUCACUCGACGAGACCUAACGUAACUGCGCCGCCUGGUCCCUGGCAGUGGUGGACCGCGGCAACGGCUGGUGCGGCCCGCGGAAGGACAGCGGCUGAACUGCAAUGUUGAAUAACAACCUGCUGCUACAUCAGAGAAAAUAUUGCCUGCUGAUAGCCAAAAAUGGCAUCUUCCAUCUCUGGCCAGUGAUCCUUCGGGUGACCUUAAUCCCAGGACUGGCCGCCGUCGCUACAGCCCCGCACCAGCUGCUAGGAGAUCAUGUGGGGAUUUUUUUUUGGUACGAGAGAUGGCAUAAAUGUAUCGACAGAGAGGAGAGAGAGACAGAGGGAAAGGGAUGGGCUGAUGGGGCCGCAGUAAUUUGUCACAUAACAUGCCUACGUGUCCACUAAAACAGCCCGUAACCUGACACGCUAUGGUCAAACCUGAUUUUGACCGUUCUAAACCAGUGAGAGAACGAGAUUAGCCCGGUAUGGUGAGUCGAGGGAUCAAGUUCGCACCGAAAAUAAGUUGAGGAACGAAAUCGGCACAGACGCAAUAAUUGAGUGACAGAAAAGACACUUAUCUCUUUUGAAAGGACAGAAUAAACGGAACCUGAAGUUUGGCUCAGUAUUUCUCCCUCGAUCGAUCUGUAACUUAGGUUCCAUGGAUCGAUGGUGUGCAGGGGAUGUAAUUCCUGAAUCAAGCAGUUAACAGGGGAUGUAAGUAGAGUACUUACCCGGUCUCCAAGUAGAAAGGCAGAGGCCCCUGGAACCCUGGAAGGUGAGUGACCACCUUGAAGGCCUCGGCGGCGGCGGCAGCGGCGGCGGUCUGAGAGAGUACCAGGCACAGCAGCAGCAGCAAGCUGCAGCAGCUGGUCAUGAUCUUCUUGGAGGAGGCAGAGGAGGAGGACGGAGACAUAUCAUGUGCUUGCAGAAACUUGCCGCAUGACAUUUCCAUCCUGCUUAUUAUUGUUUGCAGAAACUCUCACAUCACAUGGGUCAGGCUGCGAGGAUGGCGACAGCAGCAGCAUUUCCAACCUUAUUAGUACUGUUUGCAGAAGAGUCUGGGAUAUGUACUGAGCUACUACUCGUUGGAUCUCGCACGGGACGGGAGCAGGUGUCAAUUCAACCACUGCUCCUCGCCUAUCAGACACCUACUACCGAAAUUUCAUAAUGAUAAUUAAAAGUAGAAAUACCUCUGGCAUUGGAAAUGAAAUGUCCUCGUAAUACUUCAACCUUAUCGGCAUCGCUCUGCUUCUUGUUCACUUCAUCAUCAGUGCACGGAAUUUGCUUCAUUCCUUAUGGCAACAGUAGCAGCCUUCUUGCAUCCUGAAGAUGUGUUGCCCUUGUCGUCAAGGACAACGUCAAAUUAUUUAUUGUUUGCAGAAACUCACGCACGCUGACUGACCGGGAACAUGUUACAUUGAUAGUGGAGUGGAGUAUAGUUCAACCACGCCACCACUGGAUCCGAUCGAGUCCUCCGUCCCAUAAUGUACUGGGAGCUAACUACUACUACUCGUUGGAUCUCGCACGGGAGCAGGUACGUGUCACCGUGCCACGACGUGUCAAAAAACCACGACAUUCACGGGAUCUACGACUCCGGCCUCCUCGCCCAUCACACCGAACCAGCACGUCCACGUCCGCUGAGUGUGAGUUAUUUUUCAUUAGAAAGGUACACCAAGAAGACGACGAGAGGUCUUACAAACCAAAUAAUUGAGAAGGGGAACACUUCUCAUUUCUUAACAACAGGACAUACCUUGGCUGAUGAGGAAGAAAAAACAUACUGUACCGGGGAGCCAAAAACGCUGCCACACAAUUGAUACGCUUGGAUCGACAAUAAAUCUUAUCAAAAGUAAGGAACAAAUGGAAAAUAGCCAACCAACAUAUGCCUGUCCAUUUAAGCUGCACUCACAAUGUCAAUCUUAACCACAGUACUCCCUCCUAUUCAUAAUAACUUCUCAGAUUUAAUACAAAGUUACUGCAAAGCUGUACUAAAUCUGAUGCAUUUACUAUGGAUUGGAGGAGUAACAAACAAAUGGAAAACAAUCUGAUGCACACAUGACACGUGCACACAGAGAAAAAACAACUAAGGCAACUCCUUCUGGAGUUCUGGGUCAAUUUAUUUGAGCUUCCACAUACGUGUUCCCAUCUUCUUAAGGCAACCAGAAUGUUCAGUGGCUUCAGGCUUGGGCAUACCAGUACAAUGAAGACAUCCGCACUUGUCUUUAAUGAGAACAACAUCCCUAAUGAGAGUAAACAUGUAGCAGAAAAUACAUAUUUAAGGAAGCUUCUUGAAGAUAUGGAGAAAAUCCAUGCACUAAAGGAGAAAGAAUAAACUACUAAAACUCGUAAUAAUAUAUGAUAACAGCAAUAAUACAUCCUGCAUCGGAAAUGAAAUGGAAUGCCCUCACAAUACUUCAACUUGCUUCGAUAGCGUCACUCUGCCCCCUGCUGACCUCAUCAUCAUCAGUGUCACUCCCUUUGUAUAUUUGACUGAGAAUUAACCUUGGAUGGUUAGGAUGCUGACUUGCUUCCUUCCUUAUGGCAACUGCUGCAGCCUCGCAUUCAGAGGAUGUGGCACCUUUGUUGUAAAUGACAAUAUCUAAAUCUUUCAAACAUGGGAGAUGCUCAAUACCUAAGUACAAGCAAUAGGCUCUUGCCGUUGAUACAAAAAACGGAAGCUCAAGCUUCUCGAGCUUUGGCAACGCCCCUUCCUCAAACAGAAGGUUUGCCGUGGUUCCCUCAUAAAGUGCAUAAACAAACUCCUUCAGACAUCGGAACCCUACACCCUUCACAGGAAGCAUUUCUUUUUGGACAUUGUCAACAUGAAGUUCCAAAGAAAGUAAAGCAGGCAGCACUCCAAGAAUACGAAGAUCCUGCUCUGUUAAUACACUCAAAUUAAUGUCUAGGUAUGCAAGGCUGGCGAGUGGUGCGAUCCACUUUGGAAGUUUGGAUAGGGAGUAGGGUGUAGACAUCUUAUAACUUUGGAGGUAAGACGGCAGAGGUGACCAAGAAUCUAAUAACUCGAAUGGACACGAAUUACCACCAUCUAUACACAAGGACUGAAGUUUGAAGCUGCCAAGCUUGCAUAGGGAGGAAAGUAACAUAUCUCCAUGUCUCCUGUACUUGUGAGAUUCUUCACUGUCCGCUAUGUACCGUACAUGGAGUACGAUCAAAUUGAUCAGUUUCCCUAGCUCCUCCACUGCAUGUACUGAACUCGAGGUAAUAUUGAAGCCUGAGAUCCCUAGCAAGUUUGUCAUAUUCCCAAUCCCAAUUGGUAUCCUUGUUUCAUCUGUUCCAUACAUAUUUUUCAUGAGUAGAUGCUGUAGUUUAAUGAGCUGCACAAUUCCACCAGGCAACUCUUCAAUGAAAGUAUCCCGAAGAUCUAGUGUCUCAAGAUCAUGUAGCAUCACAAUUCCUGAUGGUACCUCAGAUAUCUCCGUGCCCCUAAAGCUCAAGUACUGCAGCUGGAAUAGUUUGUCGAUACUGCUCAUAUCAUACUUCUUCAGUCCCUUGCAACCUUCAAAAUCCAGUACACGUAAAGUUUCAAACUCAACAAGACUGGGCAAAUGUUUGAUGCAACUUGAUGAUGUUACUGUAAGUGAUCGAACAUGGCUUAGAUCUUUCUUGGCCAAUUCGGAUGCAAGAUGCUGGUCAAUGUGCUGGAUAGAUAGUCGUCGAAUAAAACAUUGGGAAUUUUCCCAAACAGUCUGGUUGCCGCUUACCACUGUGAUGAAAUUCUCUUCAAUAGACUUUGAAAUGAUAAGUUCAAGCAUCAUGUCGUGUACCCGACAAGCUUGGACCUUACCAUCGUAACCAAUGUCUAUUGGUUGGACCAUGCUUUUGUUAAUAAGCUCAUAAAAAUAAUUCUCUGCAACAUCUUGAUGACUCUGACCGCGUUCUUCAGAUAUAAAUCCUUCUGCUAUCCAUCGCCUAACUAACCUUUCUCUCUCAAUCACGUAAUCCUUGGGAAAAUUACUUAAAUACAGCAUGCACGUCUUGAGAUUUGGUGGAAGAUCAUUGUAGCUCAGUGAUAAUAUAUUUUUCAUUCCCUCUAGACUCUGUCUUUUGUUCAAGUCAGCACCGAUUGACCUUUUCACCUUCUCCCACUCUUCUUUGACACAUGGUUUGUUUGCCAGCAAUCCAGAUAUACUGAUAAUUGCCAAUGGUAAGCCUCCACACUUUUUCAGAAUUGCAUAUGAAACUUCAUUCAGCAUAUCAGGGCAGGAAUCCAGUGAGCCAAAAAUUCUUUUGAAAAAGAGUUUUUCAGAGUGAAGAUUACUUAGAGGUUUCAUUUCAUAGAUCUGAUCAUCACGACCUGGACAACAAGAACUUGCUACUUCCAAAAUGCGUGUGGUGGCUAUAAUUCUGCUGGAACAAUUAUUUUCUGGAAAAGCACACUUGAUAGCAUUCCAUGCCAAUACAGACCAUAUAUCAUCAAUGAUGACAAGAUACCGAAUACAUGUAAGUAAAUAGCAUCAGUCAGUUAUGAUAUACAUAUGUAACUAAAAAACUAAACAAACGUAAAAUUCCAACAAUUAUAUUUCUUAGGUUUGUGAGUUGGGAGCGUCUGGGGGAUAGGUGUGUCUACCUCCAGUUCGAUUUCCUGUGUGAUGUUCUAGCUUUCUUUUUUUCUAUGUUUCAAUGUGCGGCAUGCGGCGUAACGCCUGCACCGAGUCACAGCAUCUCCAGAACUUCAAUUUUUAUAUAAAUAAUUAAAGAGGGGUAUAGAUCAAAGCACGCAUCUGUCAAAGGCAACAUCUGGUAUAGCGCCUGCUAACGGUUGGACUGAGUUCGCAGCGCCUUCAGCACAGAAAGCUGAUCAGCUAGAAAAAUGACAUUAUUUACCUUUCACUCUUUCAUCAUUUUCAUUUAGAAACAUUACUUUUAUUUGUUAUAUGAGAGACAAAUUUGUGCAAUUUGGAAAGAAAAGAAAACUGGUGAAGCAAUUUUCUGUAAUAAACAUCAACAUUCUUUUAAUUUUCAUGUCAAUAGAUUAUUACUGCAGAGAACCGAACUAACAUUUUUACACUCUUUCUGCGGUUAUGGAGGUGAUAGGGUGCCCCAAUGGACGAGAUAGCAGAUUUAUCCCUAGCCUCUGUUAGUUCAGGGAGGGGGACACACUCAUAUGUCUGCCUGUGUCCUUCUACAUUGUACUUUGAAUUAAAAACACAUGAAAUGGUUAUAGAUAUUUUCUUGUGCUAAGCAUUUUAGCUAAAAUAUGGAAGAGAAGUUGCAAAAUGUAAUUUAUAACUACCAGGGUUUACCAUGUUUGUAGCUUGUUCCACUUGCGUGAAAACUUCCUAGUACGUGCAGUAAGGUGUCAGAAAUGAUGAUAAGCCCGUGUGAUAACAAGCACAGCUAGUGGUGCAAUGUUGUUUCUUAUGUGAAAAAUUGCAUGCUAAAUAUUUUUACCUCAAAUAAUGACAAUAAUGCAAGCAUACUUUGCAAAAAAAAAAAUACCUCUUGUCUUGUAGUAGUUCUCUUAGCUUUGCAAUGGAUUUCUUUUCAUCCCAAAAUUCUAUACCUUUUAUGAAUUCAUCCUUACAAGACACUUGCGAGAUCACAUCCUUGAUAAUUUUCCUUGUAUCUGGCUUUUGCGAGACCGAGACAAAAGCAUGAUAAUGAAAGUGCCCUUGAAUCUUGCGAUAGACUUCAUUCGCCAGUGUUGUCUUCCCCGAUCCACCAAACCCAACAAUAGACAACACCCUGCAAUGAUGCUUGUUUUUUUCUUCCAUCAUCCACUUGGCAAGAUCAUCUCUGGGACCAUCAAUGCCCACAAGGUGUGUCUCCUCAGCAAAAAGAGCAGACAGCCGGGGAUCCAAGGCUGCUUGGCCAGAGGUUCCACAAGCAAUGUCAUCCAGUCUGUAACUAUUCUUGAGCUCUUUCACUUCCUUGAUACGAACCUUCAGGUCGUCGAUUUGGUUGGCAAUUCCACGACGAGCUCCAAGCGUCUUUAGACGGCGAGCCGUCUUGCGGAAGAACUCUUUGAAGCCGGAACCUUGCCCGUCCUUGCCUAGGUGGUGAAUGAACUUGUCGAAGCAGUCCUCCGUAUCAUAAGCUAGCUCCCUCACCAGUGAUAUCCAUUCCUUUACCUGGUCAUCAGGAUCCUCAAGCUUAGCAUACUUCUUGAGCGCACCAUGCAUGUGAGUAAGCUCAGACCGGAGGGAGCGGAUCUCGCGGCGGACCCCUUUCAGACGGCCGCACUCAUUCACAAGCAAGGCGGUGAGCUUCCCCAGGAGGGGACCCAACGCGCCAUGAGAAGCGCUCACCACCUCCAUCUGCGUCUAUAGCUAUUCCUUGCCUGUGCACUCCAUCUCCGUUUGGGUUCCUACUUGGAAAGGAGAGAACUCAGACGAGUGCGGAAUGGAGAGGCUGUGUGCAUACUGGUUGCAAGUUCUCAUUGACUCACCUAAGCAUGUGUAUGAAGCAACUGGGGAAGCGUGUAAGCAAAUUAAGAACAAGAUAACUCAGACUUGGAGUUCAGAGUUUCAGACAGGAAGAAUCUUACUAGUAGUAUACCCUCAAUUUGUGCAUUUUAAUUAGUUAUUGCGCCCUUAAUUUGUGCAAACCUCAUCAAAUACUCCCUCCGUCCCAUAUUAACUGACGAAAUAUUACAUGUAUCAUUCAUUUUUGGGUAAAUUUGAAUCACUUGAUAUGGGACGGAGGGAGUAUAUCACUUAAACUAACGCUCAGUUUGUCAACGGUGACAGAUGCACACUAACAUAUAACAAUCGUAAGUCUUCGAUUUAAACAUCAUGACACGCCAGCAUAAAGCAGGAAAGAAAUUGUAGCACGCCAGAGACAGAUCUAUGCAAGACAAGUCAACGGGUGUUAGGACGCGGUUGGUCGUCACCUGGCGGUCGAUCUAUCGGUGAAGCCGGCGGGGUGCUUGCUGGCAAGGAUGCCCGUGACGGAGAAGCCGACGAGGAAGCGCCAGUUGCGGCCCCAACCCACUCCCGGCAGAAGAACAGCGGCCAUGGGUUGAAGGGCUUCAUCUCAUUCUCCGGUGAUUCUCUGGAUCUCCGACGGCGGGGACUGGUGUCUAAUGCACCCGGCGACGGGGGGAUGGUGGGCUGGGUAUAUGGGGGUCUGGGGGAUGCUGUCUUUCAGGUUGUCCCCUGGCGAGCGAUCGGUCGGUGGAUCAAGCAUCGGUUGAGCUCCUCCUCCCUGAAGCCGGCGGUGAGGUUGGUGACGGCGGAUCCGGCAAGGAAGGGUUCCCAGACUCCCGACGGAUGAUCAAUGGCCACGGGUCGAAGGACUUCAUCUCCGAUCAAUCUGUCCGGUGUUGGUUGUUGGUCCGUAUCGGCGGGGGGCGAGUCGGCGACGACGGUGAAGGGGGAGAGUCGUAAUGGACUAAUGGGCCGGUGGGCUUCUCAUGGGCUAGAUAGAUUUUCUUUAGAAUAUGGGCUAGAUAGAUAGGUUGCGUGCGUGGCUGCAUCUGCAUUGGGCCCAGGUUCUUUUUUUGUUUUUUGAAACACCUUUGGGCCCAGCUUCUUUCUUUCUCCGGACAAAUCCUCUGGGGUUUUAAAAAAAGAAGACAAAUCCUCUGGGAAAAAACCCUGUCUGAAAUGGUAGCAUCAGGGCCCUUAGCUUAGCCAGUGUUUGUGAGAAAUGGCCAGCCUCAAAAGAUUUACAGGAUUCAUGUCCACAACAAUUUUUACUUCCGGUUGCCGCGAACGAAUAAUCAUCGAGUCCUUCCUGGGUGCUCAAAAAAAAUAAAAAAAUCAAGUCUUCCCUCCUUUUUCCAGACAAGACAUACAAAGAGACCUGCGGGCUGUCUAGCUUUUUAGUGAAUAUUUGAAAGACGAGU